This 54378-nucleotide long non-coding RNA is filed under the name Hordeum vulgare. RNAcentral's name for it is "long non-coding RNA (HVUL_LNC008296)". Lineage: Eukaryota; Viridiplantae; Streptophyta; Magnoliopsida; Poales; Poaceae. The record is from RNAcentral.
GCAUAUAUGGAGGUCCUCUGCUGGGUGGGUGAAACAGUCCAUACUCCACAGUUUUGUUUCUGAGAUAUUAGAGUAAACCAAUAUAAAGAGCACAUUUUACUUCACAAUAUUUGUGAACCUAUGCUCCUGGGUUGUCACGUCCUCAUGGUCGAAUGCGUUGAGUGCGGUGCACUUGCUCUACUCAAUCACAAUUACUUGUCUUUGAGCAGCCACCACUCGAAGUGCUUCCCUAUUAGUUUCCCCAUGGGCAACAUGGGUACUUGAAGACCAAUGUCAACUUCAUCAGCGCAAACAAGGCGAUAUGUUGUGUGAGGAUGUUCCAGUGGUACUUCUGAGUUGGUAGGCUAUUUUGUUGUGCGUGGUGGUUGAUGAUACCAGGUUUUUCGCUCCACAGUAUAUCGUUCCUGAUGACAGACGUAGAUGGUGGGUUUCCUGGUAUUGUCACGAGCUCGCUUCUUUCCUUUCCCUUCUUUCUAUUUCUGAUCCGAAAGACAAUGUAUUUCUGUUAUGAUAAAAUGGAAAUGGGAGGAGCCCGGUUCGGAAAAAAAAAAUCAGCGCAAACAACGAAAUGCAUAUGGAAACCUCUUGUGUUUCUACUCUCCGCAAUACUGAAACUCUCAGAGAACUUACACAUCACAAGCAUGGUUUACGAGGAACAUCGAAAUGCAUGCACAUAGCACGCUGCAUCCUCUAACAGAAGUCGAUCUAGUUCAUUUUGCUCUCAUUGAAAAGAAGGCGUUCAGGGUUUACGCAUUACAAAACAUGCCAUGGUCUAACAGAAAGAUGAAAAAUAGUAUUUUUACAGUACCAAGAUGAAAAAUAGUACACAUGUAAGUCGUACGUGAUUUAUUCCUAAACAUAGUCAACUUCAUUUGAUAGAGGUUCCAUCAUGCAUGCAGCCGUGAGCCGUCCAACAGAGUUAGGCUGCGUUUCCAGUUCCAGCAAAACCAUACCGACUGUAGGGGGACAUAGUCGCUGAUCGGAUCGAAUUAGGCUCGCAAGUGUUCAUCAUGCCUGGAGCUGGCCAAACCUACUACUCCUCGCCGGCCCCUUCUGCUUGCCCGCGUUCGACAUCGCAAAUGCCAUUUAGCGCGACACGCGCAGCCACCAGAACCACAUGAUGAUGGAGCCGCCCCAGCUGCCACCCCUAGGCAAGCUCGCGCCACCCUCGUCCACCUACGGAACGGACCGCCCGCCCGCCCCCGUCACGCUGGUAGCAGGUACUGCGUGGGCUGCUUGCCUGCUUCCGCCCGAUUCCAGGCUCUAGGGGACGCCGUCACCGCUCAAUUCCACGCCUCCCUCAACCGCCUUUGCCACUAAAAUGGACGGGAGAUGAGACGACUCUAGAGGACGGGCAGGACCCCAUUGCUGCUCGAUUGUGCGCUCUCUUGUCCCAGGAGCUGCUACUCCUCGAGUCCACAGCGUGUUGGAGUCUCAGACGCCAGCGUGCAACGGAGCACCACGCCCAGCUGCAAGGAGGGCUUCUUAGCGUGGGGGAACAGCGGGGUAGAAGUUACUAGUCAUAGGCAUAGGGUUGCCUAUGUGAUUGUGCACGCGCAAAGGGCGGCGAGCAUGCGUCAGAUGUUGUGCACGGUUGAGGUGAUGGUCGGCGGGGAUAGAGCUGGUGAAUGGAGGACCGUGGGAGAGAGAUGAGGAGGAAGGAAGGCGAAAAAUGGGGGGAAAAGAUGAGUGGAUGACUGGUGGGAACUCAUCAACCUAGCCGGAUCAAACAUUGACUUGGUUAGUGUCGUGGGUAUAAGCCUGACAAUAGAUGUCUAGGGUACGAAAGGAUGGAUAGAGCCUUAGCUACGGCGAGGUUAUAUGAGUUCAGGCCCCUCUACGGUGGAGGUAAAAGCCCUACGUCUCAGUCCUCUUGGGAGCUUGUUGUCGAGUGGAAUAUGGAUUACAGUGAAUUGUUAACCCCUGCACCAGUGGGGAAGGCGGCUUAUAUAGAGUGCGCUACCCUUCACAACGGUUCGGUGCACAGGGGGUGGAGUAGUGGUGAAUAACUGCAUACGUUACAGGUAACAUAUGUCUUAAAAUGCUAAGAAAGGUAUAUGGAAACGUAUGACCGUUGUCCUCCAGGGGGGGUUACGAUGUACAGAGUGGAAUCCAGUCGGUAAGCUUGAUACGCUCCGAAUGCUCAUCUCCGACUGGAUGAUGGAGGAAUCGUUACCGACUGGAUGAUGGGAAGUCCUUAAUUCAGUCGGAACUGACUAAGGGCCUUGUCCUUUAUGAAGGGUAGUCCUUGGGUAGGCCCCACAGGACAGGCCUAUGACCCUACCCUAGGACUAUAACCCCAUCAUUAGUCCCCGAAUGGAUUGGGGUUGGAACGACGAGGCGAUGCUUGGAGUACGGAUCCGACUGGUACGGAUGCGACUUUGGCGUUGUUUGCCUCGAUCCAUUUUAUCUUCUUGACCAGUGAUUCGAGUGGAUGUAUUUGUGAAACGAACCGUCAGGGACCGAAUGCUUCUGUGGUAUCUUUUGACGUGACCAGUCAACUGACAGCGGCGGAUUUUCCGGGAUACUCAAAUUUCGGUUGCCGCGCGCUUAGCGGGGGUGACGACAUCGUAAUCGAGUAGUAUAUGCCGCCUCGAUUUCCGCGCCUUCAUCUCCUCCACUAAUAUCGCAGCGGCCGGUCGGGGAUGAGAUUUCGGGGCCACCUGCUAGUGACUCAGUCGGAACCUUAUUUAAACCUCUACAGCGAGGGUUUUCGUUGCACUCGCCUGAUAGCUCACACUUGCCCCGCUUCUCUCGUCACCUCCUGCGCAUCUCAAGCUCCUUGCUUCUCCUUCUCCCCCGCGGGUCUGCAGCCUCCACCAUGACAAAGGGGCAGACGAGCAAGCUCGAGGCGCGGAAGAAGAAGGGGAAGGCGGCGGCUCCUGCUCAGCGGCGGCAGCGAGCACUGCCGACGGGUUGGAUCCAGGGGGGAUUUCCUCCCCUCCACGAUGACGGAGGAGGACAUGCUGGAGCUGGUGGAGCACGGCAUGAUCGAGCACAAGACGUGGAGGUUGCGGGCGGAGGGCGAGACCGAGCCGGGCGUCUUGCUGCUCAGCCACGUGCACCGAGGCUUCUCUCUGCCUCCUCAUCCCUUCUUCAGAGGUAUACUGAACCACUUCAGGGCGCAGCUCCACCAUUUUCCUCCCAACGCAAUAGCUCAUCUCUCUGCCUUCGUCGUGCUGUGCGAGUGUUUUAUCGGCUGUCCUCCCCAUUGGGGGCUUUUUAAGCACAUCUUCUCUGCUAGAUCUCAAACCAUCAAAAGGCUGAGCCAGUCGGAUGACAAAACUCACUUCCUCCAGCUCUGCGGAGGCUUAGGCUGCCAAAAGAAAAGUAAAAGUAGCUAUCCCGCUCUUCAGUUGUCUGAAUCCGUUAGGAACUGGCAGUCGACUUGGUUUUACUGCCAAGACGUUGCUGGCCCAAAUGCUGCCACUGGACUACCACCUUUUAGCUUAGACCGACCAGCUCCGCCUAGGCAGCUCGCGCUCACGAAGAUGGAGAAGAUCCAGAUCCAGCCUCUGGUCGAUGCGCUUGUAGAGGUCGUCCGAAAGGGAGUCACUGGCAUAGAUUUGCUGGAGGUUUUUCUGGGUCGGCGUAUCCAGCCUUUGCAAGCUCGACACCACGCUAUGUGGCACUACACGGGGCCUGAGGACUCCACUCGGACUAACCCCGAGUGCGUGACCGGGGAGCUGGUGGCGUCGUGGGUCCUCAACAUCACAGGCGCCUGCGAUAAUCCCAGAGGAGCCCGGCGAGUGAAGCCCUUCCGCGCGGACAACCCUCCUCCGAAUGAGGUGAGUAUAACUUGUCGAGUGCACCCAAUUGUUUUAGAUUUAUCGCUUUUUCUUGUAUUACUGUGUGACGUCUGAUGUUGUCGACUGUAUCUCGUGCAGGCGUGGACCAACUGGUUUUCUCCUGUCUCGAACGGGAAUCCGGCCGAGGAGGAGGAAGGUAGCCAGGAGGGCAGCGUGGAGAGCGUCGAGUACGUCUCCGACAGUGGGGAGACGGAGGGGGAGUCCGAAGAAGAAGAGGAGGAAAAUGAGGAACAGAACUCGCCACCCCCACCACCAGAGCCUCGAACUAAACGCCGCCACGAACCCGUGGCUCCGUCGGCUCCCCCAGCGGCCUCGAGUGCCCCGCAGCAUCUCCUGUGGUUCCGAGUGCCUCGCCAGCUACUCCCGUGGUUCCGAGUGCUCGGAGCACAAAGAGGACCAGGGACUCUGCUGCUGAGCCCGCGGGCCAGCCCUCUAAGGUGGCCAAACCGAGUGGAUCCAAGCCUCGGAAGGUUUUGCCGCGGAUGAGGAUCGCCGUUCCCGUCGCCUCAGCGUAAGUGCAUUGUUCUUCUAUCUUCUUCCAGUAUUUGAUUGAACUCAUGCUUAUUGGUCGAAUGAAUUUAACUUGACAGAGCUGCCACCUCUGCCACUUCUCUGCCGCGCCAGGAAGACGAUCCCAUGGAUACAGACAAUGUUGUCACGUCCCAGCAAGGUACGUCGUUGCGACUCCGAGAGCUUACAUUAUUGUUUCACGAAUUCUGUCUUUGGUCUUGUCCUUUUUCCUGUGGUCUCACGUCGUUUGGUCGGGCUUCCUUCAGAGGUGAUCCAUGUGGAGGAGGACGAUCAGAAGAGGUCCGAGCAAGCUGCGGCGCCCGUCAUUGAGGCCGUUCCGUCUGUUACCACUCCUGCCAUGGAAACGCCGCCAACUGAGACGAUGUCGUCGACUAACACGGCGCUCAUCGUUGUGGAACCGACUGGAGCAGGACUUGGGAUGCCCAAGGAGUCUCUUGUGGUGCCAGGUCCGUCGAUCGUCCAGUUCGACGCCCGGCGCCUUCCGGAAGAUCAGGUGGGAGCUGCCAAGGGGGCCAUGGUGCAGGCAGAGUUGAUGGCGGGUGAUGCCAAGAGAGCGUACGACUCCAUCGCGUCUGUGUACAAGCGAAGCUUGGAACUCCGGGACGAUAUCCGAGUAAGUGGGCUAGUAUGUAUUUGCUUUCCCCUUGUAACCCACUGGGUGUUUAAGCCAGAUACUCGGAUACAGAAUGAUUAGUUUGCGGUGGGUUCACUCUUAGUGAACCCAGUGGGUGUAGUCCUCGAGACUUCUGUCGAGUGCUUGCACCGGCAGUUGUCUUUAUAUAAUUUUUUUUAACUUGAUCAGAUCAAAACUAAUCUGUUCGAAUGUUACCGGUGGGGGGCAUUCCGAGUGCACCUACUGGAUUAGUCCCCGAGAGUAAUUUUACUCAGGUCGGGUAGUAGUAGCCUCAUAGGCUUGAUUUUGUUAUGUAUCUCAAUAGGGCUGACAUGUUUGAGCGUCAUGCCAGUGGGGUCACUCUUAGUGAACCCACUGGGUGUAGUCCCCGAGACCGCUGUCGAUUGCUUGCAUUGACAGGGGUCUGAAGUCCUUGGAGGAGUCCCGUGAGGCAAACAAGGCAUUGGUGGCCGAAGUGGAGAAAAUGGGGAAACAAAGAACUGAGCUGAUGGGACAGAUGCAGGUGAUGAACAGGCGGCGCAUAGCACAGGAGAAGUACGUCAGUGACUGGGCAAGGCAGAUGAUUGCGCUUCUCGGUGGUAAGUUCUGUUUUUUCCGAGUGUUUGUUGACUGUGUAGUUCAUUCUGCGCUUACUUGUUGCUCGUCUUGUCUUUGUAGAUUUUUGUAUGGACGCUGAGGUUGAAGCACCUGACGUUGAGCGGUCGGUUAUUCCGAACGUUCCACUCGGCGACGACGCCAAUCGAGACAUGCUCUGAGCGCACAUUCGCCUGGGUAAAGUGGGACCUUUCAUCGGUCGACUAAGAGAGGUCGUCGGCCGAAUCGACAAGGAGCUGGGACCCGAAGACGAGUCUCGGCAAGAGAUGGAAGGGUUGAUGACUCGGCUGGAGGAGGUCCCGAACCGAGUGCAGGCGUGGAAGAAGUCUGCGGCUCGCUGUGGUGCGGACGUGGCGCUGUCGCUGGUCCGAGUGCACUGCAAGUAGGCUCACGAAGAGAAGUUGAAGGCGUUGCAGGUCGCAAACACCAAGAAGCUUCGAUUCGAAGAUUUCAUUGAGACCUUCCUUGAGAGUACCACUCGCAUCGCAGACGGGAUCGACCUCGACACUUUCGUGGAGCCUGCCAGUCCCAGUGCCAGUCCUGAUGACUCUUGAGAAAACUUUUACCUCGGUAUGCCGAGUGUUAGUUGUAUGAAACUUUGGCCACUGUUGUUGGCCGUCACAUUUGUGGUUUGGUGUGGAUAAGCUUGAUCUACACAGAACCAACUAUCUUUAGACGAACUUUGAAUUUGAAUCGAAUCUUUUGCUCUUCCUUUGCCAAAAAGUUGUUGACACGAUUUUGGCUCGUGGUUUUUGUUUGGCGUUUCUUGGUGAAGCCAAUGGCAAACAUGCGGAGCAUGUAAUUGUCAGUUGUCUUGACAUCUGCAUGAACCUCACUGAGGGUCUGCUGGGUCUUCGAGUGGAUCUGUAGGAUACACUCGAAGGCAAUUGUGUACUUAGGCGAUUCGUGAUCGCGGCUAAGUCUUCGAGUGCGACUGUAAGGUCAUACUCAGAGCGAGUUGUUACUCGUGUAAUUGUCAGUUGUCUUGACAUCUACAUGAGCCUCAAUGAGGUUCUGCUACUCAUGUAAUUGUCAGUUGUCUUGACAUCUACAUGAGCUUCGAUGAGGGUCUGCUAAGUCUCCGAGUGGAUCUGUAACAUACACUCGAAGGAAGCUUUCUAUUUAGGCGAUCCUUGAUCGCAGACAACGUCCCCAAGUGCGAUGUGUAGUGCGACAUUUGGAGAAAGUUAGUACUUAGGCGAUUCUGGAUCGCGUCUAAGUCCCCGAGUGCGACAUUUAAUGCACACUCGAAGAAAGUUUGNUUACUUUUUCUCCUGUAACCCGCUGGGUGUUUGUGUUUUUUGCAAUGGGUUCACUCCGAGUGAACCCAGUGGGUGUAGUCCCCGAGACAUCUGUCGAGUGCUUGCAUCGACAGUUGUCUUUAUACAUUUUGCCUUUAGUUUGGUUGUGUCCGUAGACAGGAUUUCCGAGUGCGAGUACUUGUUGCAGUCGGAGUGCUCUUGCGGUAAGAGUCUCCGAGAGUAAGUUGCACGCAGGUCGGGCAGUAUUGGCCUCUGAGGCGUAGGUGAAAAUAUGCAUCUCAAUAGGGCAGGCCUGCUUGAGGUGCAUUGCCAGUGGGGUCACUCUUAGUGAACCCACUGGGUGUAGUCCCCCGAGACCGCUGUCGAUUGCUUGCGUCGGCAGGGGUCUGAAGAACUUAGACUGUGAACUGAUAAACUUGCUGAUUACCCUUUGUUUCUUGGUGGCAGAAAACUUGUGAAAUGGGAACGGCCUAUGAGGCCCUGAGGGCGGAGAGGAACCAGUUCGCUGGUGAACUUGACGCUGCUAUGCUCGCCAUGGCCGGCAUGAAGGAUGCUCUGGAGGGACGAGAGAAGUCCCUGGAGGAGGCUCGGGAGGCGAACAAGGUGUUGACGGAGGAGGUGGAGAGAAUGAAGAAACAGAGGACUGCUCUGCACAAUCAGAUGGGCGUUCUGAACAGACGAUGUAUAGCUCAGGAGAAGUAUGUCAACGACUGGGCUGUGCAGAUGAUGACUCGUCUGGCUGGUAAGUCUUAUGUUUUGUCGAGUGCUUGUACCGUGUGCUGUACACUCGGUUUUUUAUUGUCUGCUUGCCCGUUUGUUGCAGACUUUUGCGGUGACGCUGAAGCUGAAGCGGCGGCUGUGGAGCGGUCCAUUAAGGACAAUGUGCCACUCGACGAGGACGCCAACCGGGAUCUGCUCCGGGCACAUAUCCGCGUAGGCAAAGUGAGUCCUUUCAUCGGCCGACUGAGAGAAGUCGUCGGCCGAAUUGACAAGGAACUUUGGCCAGAAGACGAGUCGCGGCAGGAGAUGGAGACCCUGAUGGCGCGGCUGGAGGAGAUUCCGAGCCGAGUGCAAUCGUGGAAGAAAUCGGCAGCGCGGUGUGGUGCUGAUGUUGCGCUGUCCUUGGUCCGAGUCCAUUGCAAGGAGGUGCGGGAAGAUAAGCUGAAGACAUUGAAGGUCGCCAACACGAAGAAGCUUCGAUUCGAAGACUUCAUGAAGACGUUCCUUGAGACUGCUACCCGCAUCGCUGAUGGAAUCGACUUGGACACUUUUGUGGAGCCCUCCAGUCCUGGCGCCGGCCCAGCUGACGCAUAAUAAAACUUUAUCCUCGGUAUGCCGAGUGUUUACCUGUAAGAUACUCUAGCCACUUCUGUUGGCUGUCAUACUUUUAAAUCGGUGCGGGUAAGCUUGAUCCGCACCGAGUCAGCUAUCAUUUCUAGACUUUUGGAAUCGGAAUGAAAACAUUUAGUCUUUUGUCUGAAUGUUGUUUCAAGUGCAACGCUUAGUGCAUACUCGGAGAAGAUUAAUACUUAGGUGAUUCUUGAUCACAGCUAAGUCCCCGAGUGUGACGCGUAGUGCACACUCGGAGGAAUGUUAGUACUUAGGUGAUUCUUGAUCACAGAUAAGUCUCUGAGUGCGACGCGUAGUGCGCACUCGGAGGAAGAUAUUACUUAGAUGAUUCUUGAUCACAUCUAAGUCUCCGAGUGUGACGCGUAGUGCACACUCGGAGGGUGUUAGUUCUUAGGUGAUUCUUGAUCACAGCUAAGUCCCCGAGUGUGACGCGUAGUGCGCACUCGGUGGAAAAUAUUACUUAGGUGAUUCGUGAUCACAUCUAAGUCUCCGAGUGCGACGUGUAGUGCACACUCGGAGGAAUUUAUUACUUAGGUGAUUCUUGAUCACAUCUAAGUCUCCGAGUGCGACGUGUAGUGCACACUCGGAGGAARUUAGUACUUAGGCGAUUCAGGAUCGCAGCUAAGUCUCCGAGUGCGAUGUUUAGUGCACACUCGGAGAAAGUUUGUACUUAGGCGAUUCUUGAUCGCAGCUUAAGUCCCCGAGUGCGACGUUUAGUGCACACUCGGAGAAAGUUUGUACUUAGGCGAUUCUUGAUCGCAGCUAAGUCCCCGAGUGUGACGUUUAGUGCACACUCGGAGAAAGUUUGUACUUAGGCGAUUCUGGAUCGUAGCUAAGUUUUUGUUUUUGAGACCGGAGUCUGCGACCGCGGAAGAAUUUUGAAUCUGCAAAAACUCAAUCUUCUUUGUAUUACUUCAACGAUACUUGUUCUUUACAUUGCUUCAGUCGACGGUCACGUGUAGAAGCGCUUCAGGAGAUCUCCGUUCCAUGCUCGCGGCUCGUCCAUUUCCCUGUCAAGGUUGUAGAGUCGAUAUGCUCUGUUGUUCCGCACCUUGGAGAUGAUGAAGGGUCCUUCCCAGGCGGGAGCCAACUUGUGAGGUCUCUGCUGAUCCACUCGGAGCACCAGGUCGCCUGCUUGGAAUGUACGACUCCUGACGUGUCCCGCGUGGAACCGCCGCAGGUCUUGUUGAUAAAUGGUUGAGAGAGUCAGUGCCAUCUCACGCUCCUCCUCUAGAAGAUCCACUCCGUCUUGCCUUGCUUGCUCUGCUUCAGCUUCGGAGAAGAGUUCAACUCGUGAAGCAUUGUGAAGCAAGUCACUCGGAAGAACUGCCUCUGCUUCGUAAACGAGGAAGAACGGGGAUCGCCCUGUAGAUCUAUUUGGGGUUGUGCGGAGACCCCAAAGCACCGAAGGCAGCUCGGUGACCCAUGCGCCGGCGGCAUGCCCCACUUCUCGCAGGAGUCGAGGCUUCAAACCUUGUAGAAUAAGUCCAUUCGCCCGCUCUACUUGCCCGUUUGUUUGGGGAUGCGCCACAGAUGCAAAAUCCACUCGGAUACCUUGGCAUGUACAGAAACCUUUGAAUCUGUCCGAGUCAAAGUUUGUUCCAUUGUCAGUGAUUAUGCUAUGGGGUACCUCGAAUCUGGAGAUGAUGUCCCUGACAAACUUGAUGGCCGUAAGGGCGUCGAGCUUUUUUGAUGGGCUUGGCUUCAAUCCACUUUGUGAACUUGUCGACUGCCACCAAUAGAUGUGUGAAUCCCCCCUUGGCCUGUCCUGAAUGGACCGACUGUAUCUAAUCCCCAUACUGCAAACGGCCAAACAAGAGGGAUUGUCUUCAACGCAGAUGUUGGUUUGUGGGACUUGUUAGAGUAGAACUGACAGCCUUCACAUUGGUCGACCAUAUCUUUCGCCAUUUCAUUCGCCUGCAGCCAAAAGAAGCCAGCUCUGAAUGCUUUGGCGACGAUUGCCCUUGAGGAGGCGUGAUGACCACAGGUUCCCGAGUGAAUUUCUUCCAGGAUUAACUAUCCCUCCUCAGGAGAGAUGCAUCGUUGAAGGACGCCUGAAACGCUUUCUUUGUACAACUGGCCAUCAAUGACAGUGAACGACUUUGACCUUCGGACGAUCUGUCUUGCUUGGACUUCGUCUUCUGGUAAUUCUUGCCUCAGGAUGUAUGCAAUAAAUGGCACAAUCCAAUCGGGGAUGAUAGCAAGAACCUCCAUGAUCAAAUCAACCACAGCAGGGACUUCGACUUAAGUCGGAUCUGUCGAGCUCUUUAGUUGUACUGGUUCCUCUGUGAAAGGAUCUUCUUUAACUGAGGGAAGGUGGAGGUGCUCGAGGCAGACGUCACUCGGGACUGGUCUCUGAGUGGAUCCGAGUUUUGCCAACUCAUCAGCUGCUUGGUUUUUCAGUCGCGGAACAUGGUGGAGUUCCAGACCUUCAAAUUUCUCGAUCUUCCUCACUGCAUUGCAGUAUGUGGUCAUGGUGGGGUUCCUGACGUCCCACUCCUUCAUCACUUGAUUAACCACCAAAUCCGAAUCGCCAUAGACCAUCAGGCGACGGACGCCGAGUGCGAUGGCCAUGCGCAAUCCAUAAAGGAGAGCUUCAUACUCUGCCUCGUUGUUGGAGGAAUCAAAGUGUAUCUGCAACACAUACUUGAGUUUGUCACCCUUUGGCGAUAUGAUCACAACGCCAGCGCCGGAGCCAUUCAACAUCUUGGACCCAUCGAAGAACAUUGUCCAAUGAGCCGAGUAGAUGUGGGUCGGUUAAUGUUGUUCUACCCAUUCUGCUAUGAAGUUAGCCAGAGCUUGAGACUUUAUAGCUUUCUUGGCCUCGAACCUAAUGUCGCAGUAUAACAUCUCCAUUGCCCACUUCGCCACUCGGCCCGAUGCGUCCCGAUUGUGUAGGAUUUCCGACAACGGAGCAUCAGAAACGACGGACACCGAGUGGUCUUGAAAAUAAUGAGCCACCUUCUUCGUAGUCAUGUAAAUCCCGUAGAUAAGUUUUUGAUAAUGGGGAUACCUCUGCUUGGAAGGAGUCAGGACUUCGGAGACAUAAUACACUGGCCGCUGAACCUUGUAUGCUUUGCCUUCUUCUUCCCGUUCGACCGUCAGAACAGUGAUGACGACUUGAUUCGUAGCCGCGAUGUACAGAAGAAGGGGUUCUUUACUGAGCGGAGCAGUAAGAACCGGCUGGGUGGAAAGUAGGACUUUGAGGUCGUCGAAUGCGAUUUGGGCUUCGUCUGUCCACUCGAAAGUAUCUGAUUUCUUCAUGAGUCGGUACAGAGGAAGUGCCUUCUCGCCGAGUCGACUGAUAAACCUGCUCAAAGCCGCUAGGCAACAUGUGAGUCUUUGAACAUCGUGUAUUCUGACCGGCCGCUCCAUUCGGACGAUGGUCCCGAUCUUUUCGGGGUUGACAUCGAUCCCUCGUUCGGAAACAAAGAAACCGAGUAACUUUCCGCUGGGAACGUCGAAUGAACACUUGGCUGGGUUGAGCUUGAUAUCGUACCUACGAAGGUUGGCGAAUGUUUCUGCCAAGUCAGUCAGCAGGUCGGAACCUUUGCGUGACUUGACUACGAUAUCAUCCAUAUACGCCUCCACAUUCUGACCGAUCUGGUCGAGGAGGCAUUUUUGGAUCAUGCGCAUAAAGGUUGCUCCUGCAUUCUUCAAACCAAAUGGCAUAGUGAUGUAGCAGAAGCACCCGAAUGGGGUGAUGAAGGCUGUUUUUAAUUCAUCGGGGCCAUACAAACGGAUCUGAUGAUAGCCCGAGUAGGCAUCAAGGAAUGACAACCGCUCCCAACUCGCAGUCCAAUCGACAAUUUGAUCGAUGCGGGGGAGCGGAAAAUGGUCUUUCGGGCAGACCUUAUUGAGAUGCUUGAAGUCGAUGCACAUUCGGAGCGACUUGUCUUUCUUGGGCACCAUGACAACAUUGGCGAGCCACUCGGAGUGGUGUACCUCGCGAAUGAAGUUGGCUGCCAAAAGUUUAGCCACCUCUUCUCCGAUUGCCUUCCUCUUGUGCGCGGCGAACCGACGCAGGCGUUCUCGGACAGGCCGAGCGGCGGGAUCCACAUGCAGUCAGUGCUCAGCCAACUCCCUGGGUACACCUAGCAUGUCAGCGGGCUUCCAUGCGAAGAUGUCCCAGUUCUCACAGAGGAAUUGGGUGAGCUCGGCUUCCUAUUUAGGAUCGAGGGUGGUGGAGAUGUUCGUCGGGGCAGCGGUGUCGUCCGUCGGGUGGAUGCUGACCUUCCUCGUCUCUCCCGCCGACUGGAAUGCGGACUCCGAAGCUGGCUUCUUCGAACGCAUCAAGUCAGCGGGGUCGACUGUUUUCUUGUACUCGUCAAGCUCGAGGACAGCCAUCUGUUGAUCGGCGAUCCUCGAUCCCUGCUGCAGACACUCCUCGGCACGCUACCGAUUGCCUGUGAUGGUGAUCACACCUUUUGGGCCUGGCAUCUUCAGCUUCAGGUACACGUAACAUGGACGGGCCAUGAAACGCGCAUACGCCGGGCGGCCCAGAAUUGCGUGGUACGCACUCUGGAAGUCCACCACCUCGAACGUCAGCUUUUCCUUGCGGAAAUUCUUGUCGGAGCCGAAGACGACAUUCAACGCGAUCUGGCCGAGUGACUUGGCCUUUCGUCCAGGGACGACUCCAUGGAACUGCAUGCUGCUCUCGCUAAGUUUGGACAUCGGAAUGCCCAUCCCCUUGAGAGUGUCAGCGUACAUGAUGUUCAAGCCACUGCCGCCGUCCAUGAGGACUUUGCGGAGUCGGACUCCUUCCACCACCGGGUCGACGACCAGGGCGUGCCUCCCUGGGGUGGGUACGUGUGCUGGAUGAUCCGACUGGUCAAAGGUGAUCGCAGUCUGAGACCAUUUGAAGAACGUAGGUUGGUCGGCGUGGCCAUGUUCACCUCCCUGUUCACCAGCUUCAGUCGACUCUUGCUCUCAAUGUCAGCAAAAAUCAUCAAUGUUGCAUGGACUUGGGGGAAUGGAUCCUCCUUGUCUUCCUCAUCCUGUUCAUUGCCCUUUUCACUCGGCUGUCCUUCGCCGAACCCCUGGAUCAGGAGGCGACAUUGCCGAGUGGUAUGCUUCGGAUAUAUGGCGUUGCCCUCUUCAUCCAUCUUCGUGUGAAUUGGACAUGGCUGGUCCAGGAUGGGGUUUCGAACUGCUUCUUCUUGGGGGUGAACUGAGCCUUCCCCUUGCCCUUGAACUUGGCAUUGGUAACGGCUGCGGCCUCUGCCUGCGGAGUGGACGGAGCUUUCUGCUUCUGCUUCCGAGUGUUGUUCCCAUCUCCAUCGGCGACUGCUUUGUGCUUGCCGCUACGAAUGCGGUCCUCUUCUUCGCCAUUUGCAUAGAGUGCCGCUAUCUCCAUCAUUUUACUCAUGGAGAUGUCGCUUGUUCGACCGAACUUCAGGUACAAAUCUCUGUACCGCACGCCUGCCUUGAAUGCGCAGACUGCUUGGUGCUCUGUGACGUUCUCCACGUGUGGUAGAGGGUCGUCCAACGCUGAAUGAAACCGCGCAGGGGCUCAUUCUGCUUCUGGACACAGUGCUGGAGCUCCACGAGGUCAGCAGGGCGUUUGCACGUCCCUUCGAAGGUCCUAAUGAAGACUCGGGCCAGAUCUGCCCAGCUGUAGAUGCUUGAGGGAGCCAACUGGUUCGACCACGCUCGCGCCGAGCCGUCGAGCAUUAGAGGGAGGUGUUUCAUGGCAACGUGGUCGUCCCCUCCUCCGAUCUGGACUGCCACUCGGUAGUCGUCCAGCCAUGUUUCUGGCUUGGAUUCUCCUGUAAACUUGCUGAUCCCCGUCGCCAAUCGGAUGUUGGAAGGGAUGUCAGCCGAACCGAUGGCUCGACUGAAACACUCGGGGCCAGAGACGAUGGUCCUGCUUCCACUCGGACGGUCCAUAUCGUGACCAUCGCGGUGGGCUUGGCCCCUGUCGACCCUCCUCUGGGCGAUAUGCCCUCUCGCGUCGGGCCUUGGAUCAUAAGUGUCACCGACUGAACGCCGAUCAUCAUGAUGUCAGGGCCCAUAGGGCCCACCCCGCGGAGGGGUGCGUGAGCGGUGACGAUCUUCGGGAUUCAUGGAACGACUGCUUCUCGUGUGUCGCUGAUGAGAACCGGGGCUGUGAAUGGACCGAUGCGUGUUCGCGUGAACAGAACUAUUGUGAAUCCUGUUGUGCGACUGGGAGACCGCUGAAUUUUGCUACUGCGCGUGUGCAGCAGGGCACGGAUUUGCUCGAUCCCCUCUGCCAGCCUCUGAAUCAGUCGGCUGGAGAGAAUCGGCUAUCUUGGCGGCGGCAGCCAGGUUGAGGACGGGUGUGCGGUACACCUCCACGUUGCUCCGCCGAGUGUGCCGACUGGCAGAACGGCGGGGCUGACGGUGAGCGCCAGAUGUUUCGCCGACCUCGUGCUCGUUCCGGCCAGUUUGGCGGGGACUUUCAUGGGAGUUGGCCAUGUGCACUUCAGCUGCAGGCCCGCGACCCAAGUACUCCGAAGGAAACUCAGUCAGAACUGAGUCCGAGCGCUGGGACGGCGGCGCAACCACAACCGACUCUAGGACCGCCACUUGUGAGGACGCGUUCUGGCGCGCCUGGGCGUGUUGCACCCAACGCUGGAGCCGCGGACGGCGGGACCGCUUGUUGCGGCGCGCGAUGGCGGCAUAGGUCGAUUCCGGAGCUGACUGCUGGAGAAGAAGAAUACCGCGGGCGCCGGCACGAAAGUGCGUAGCCCCGUGACCGGGGAGCGCCUCGACGUCGAGAGGGGCAUUCCGGAGCCAUGCCGAAUCGUCGACGAUGAAGGAGAGAGAGCCGAAGAGGAUCUCGUGACCCAUGCUCAAAUCUCCACCGGAUGACAUGAUGAAAAGAUGUAGUCGCAAACUCGCCGGAAGUUGCUUAGACGCCUGCCCAGGUGGGCGCCAACUGCCGUGGGUAUAAGCCUGACAGUAGAUGUGUAGGGUAUAAAAGGAUGGGCAGAGCCUUAGCUACGGCGAGGUUGUAUGAGUUCAGGCCCCUCUACGGUGGAGGUAAAAUCCCUACGUCUCAGUACUCUUGGGAGCUUGUUGUCGAGUGGAAUAUGGAUUAUAGUGAAUUGCUAAGCCCUGCACUAGUGGGGAAGGGCGGCUUAUAUAGAGUGCGCUACCCUUCACAACGGUUCAGUGCACAGGGGUGGAGUAGUGGUGAAUAACUGCAUACGUUACAGGUUACAUAUGUCUUAUGCUAAUAAAGGUAUAUGGAAACGUAUGACCGUUGCCCUCCAGGGGGGUUACGAUGUACAGAGUGGAAUCCAGUCGGUAAGCUUGAUACGCUCCGAAUGCUCAUCUCCGACUGGAUGAUGGAGGAAUCGUUACCGACUGGAUGAUGGGAAGUCCUUAAUUCAGUCGGAGCUGACUAAGGGCCUUGUCCUUUAUGAAGGGUAGUCCUUGGGUAGGCCCCACAGGGCAGGCCUAUGACCCUACCCUAGCACUGUAACCCCAUCAGUUAGUCUUUGCCACGUUAGCCGGGCCCAACCAGUCAGUUUUUCUCCCUUUGUGCCGUCGUUUUCUCACAACAGAACGUCAUGGAUAGGCUAAUCGAGAGAGGUGAAGAACGAAGUGGCACCGGUGGUCUUCGGUAACCGGAUUGGUAACUAGCGAUGUAAGACACACAAUGUACCCAGGUUCAGGGUCCUCCGUGGAAGGUAAAACCUGCAGUCCUACCGGAAUGGUUGAUGAACCAGUAGUGUUCAGCGGAGGAGGGAGAAGGAGCAGCCGGCUGGCGUUCUACCUCUCCUGUAUGGGUGGGAGUGUAUCAGAAUGGCCGACCCUCUGCAUGGAGUGGGCCGGGGGGUUUAUAAUCGAACCCCCCAGCCUAAAAAAAUGGAUAAGAGGUACUAAAGGGGGACCCGGCUGGCAGCCUCUCCGGCUAGCAAGUGGGUCCGUUGUCGAGCAGUCUUGUUUUUCGCAGGGCCCGCCGGCUGUAGGGUCCCAUCAGGCUCUGGCAUCCGCCGGCCAGCCAAUCGAAGAGGCGCGUGCUCUCCACGCGCGGGACGGAAAGUACGUUGGCCGUCGUCUUGCGGGAUUCAGCAUCGGUCAGCAGUACGAUCGCCUCCAUUGUAGCCACACUUCGCCAGGUAAUGGAGUGGUUGGUGACGGGCGUACACAGUGUGCGGUUGACAGGUCGUAGCCGGCACCGGUCAGCGGUAUGGCUACCACCGUUGUAGCCACGCGUAUCCUUCGCCAUCAUAUCUGGACUGACGUUCCUUCACCUUCAAGCGAAGGGUCUUGUCGUGUCCAAGGGGUCGAGAUGACAGGUGAUCCCCAGCCGGCUGACGGCUAGACAGUCGGCUAGAGAGUAAACAGCCGUGCCCCUAGCCGGCACGGGUUGCGUAGCCGGCAAGGGUGUAGACAGCAGUACCCCGAGCUGGCACGGGUUGCGUAGCCGGCCAGGAAGUGCCAGCACUUGAGCAUGCAUUCUUCCCAAGUUAUGCCGAAAGGCUAUAGAGUAGGCUCGAUGAGCCUACCCCGGGGUUAUCCCCCCGUCAGUAGUGCCCGAAGCAGGGGAGGCCCGCUGGCUCAAGGGGGAAGGCCUCGCCAGCUUGGAGGUUGCGCCUGUGGGUCGCCAGAGCCGGUGGCCGGGCUAAUAGCCAGUCGGCUUCUGCGAGAAGCCUCGCCUUCUCCGUUGUAAUGUGGCGGUACGCCACGCGUCGGGUUUCGGGGGUCGUGCCCUGACAGGCCACGAGCAUGAUAGGACUGGGCCUGCUGCGGGGGUGACCCGCCAUGCCGCAGCCGCGGCCCGCGCGUGGGGAUCUUCUGCGGAAAACAGGGUGGUGGUUGGCAUCCCGAUGCACCUUAACUUCUCCACGUGGCGCACGGGGAAUGGGGAUCGUGCGCACCGGUUCCCCUUCCCCACUACCCAGUCUUGGGUUUAAAGGGGCAGGCGGAGGGGCCGAAGUAGACAUUUGCCCCUGCUCCUCAUCUUCGCGACGGCCCACCCCUCUGUUGGGGAACGUCGCAUGGGAAACAAAAAUUUCCCUACGCGCACGAAGACCUAUCAUGGUGAUGUCCAUCUACGAGAGGGGAUGAGUGAUCUACGUACCCUUGUAGAUCGUACAGCAGAAGCGUUAGUGAACGCGGUUGAUGAGUGAUAUACAUCCAAUAUAUCACAUCACAUCGUUGGGCCAUAUCACAUCACAAGCAUACCUUGCAAAAACAAGUUAGACGUCCUCUAAUUUUGUUGUUGCAUGUUUUACGUGGUGACCAUGGGUAUCUAGUAGGAUCGCAUCUUACUUACGCAAACACCACAACGGAGAUAUAUGAGUUGCUAUUUAACCUCAUCCAAGGACCUCCUCGGUCAAAUCCGAUUCAACUAAAGUUGGAGAACCGACACUUGCCAGUCAUCUUUGAGCAACGGGGUUACUCGUAACGAUAAAACCAGUCUCUCGUAAGCGUACGAGUAAUGUCGGUCCAAGCCGCUUCAAUCCAACAAUACCGCGGAAUCAAGAAAAGACUAAGGAGGGCAGCAAAAUGCACAUCACCGCCCACAAAAACUUUUGUGUUCUACUCGAGAAGACAUCUACGCAUGAACCUAGCUCAUGAUGCCACUGUUGGGGAACGUCGCAUGGGAAACAAAAAUUUUCCUACGCGCACGAAGACCUAUCAUGGUGAUGUCCAUCUACGAGAGGGGAUGAGUGAUCUACGUACCCUUGUAGAUCGUACAGCAGAAGCGUUAGUGAACGCGGUUGAUGUAGUGGAACGUCCUCACGUCCCUCGGUCCGCCCCGCGAACAAUCCCGCGAUCAGUCCCACGAUCUAGUACCGAACGGACGGCACCUCCGCGUUCAGCACACGUACAGCUCGACGAUGAUCUCGGCCUUCUUGAUCCAGCAAGAGAGACGGAGAGGUAGAAGAGUUCUCCGGCAGCGUGACGGCGCUCCAGAGGUUGGUGAUGACCUUGUCUCAGCAGGGCUCCGCCCGAGCUCCGCAGAAACGCGAUCUAGAGGAAAAACCGUGGAGGUAUGUGGUCGGGCNNNNNNNNNNNNNNNNNNNNNNNNNNNNNNNNNNNNNNNNNNNNNNNNNNNNNNNNNNNNNNNNNNNNNNNNNNNNNNNNNNNNNNNNNNNNNNNNNNNNAUGGGAAACAAAAAUUUUCCUACGCGCACGAAGACCUAUCAUGGUGAUGUCCAUCUACGAGAGGGGAUGAGUGAUCUACGUACCCUUGUAGACCGUACAGCAGAACCGUUAGAGAACGCGGUUGAUGUAGUGGAACGUCCUCACGUCCCUCGAUCCGCCCCGUGAACAAUCCCGCGAUCAGUCCCACGAUCUAGUACCGAACGGACGGCACCUCCGUGUUCAGCACACGUACAGCUCGACGAUGAUCUCGGCCUUCUUGAUCCAGCAAGAGAGACGGAGAGGUAGAAGAGUUCUCCGGCAGCGUGACGGUGCUCCGGAGGUUGGUGAUGACCUUGUCUCAGCAGGGCUCCGCCCGAGCUCCGCAGAAACGCGAUCUAGAGGAAAAAACCGUGGAGGUAUGUGGUCGGGCUGCCGUGGAAAAGUCGUCUCAAAUCAGCCCCAAAACCUUCGUAUAUAUAGGUGGGAGGGAGGGGGCCUUGCCUUGGGGUCCAAGGACCCUCAAGGGGGUCGGCCGAGCCAAGGGGGAGGACUCUCCCCCCCCCCAAACCGAGUUGGACUAGGUUUUGGUGGGAGGGAGUCCUCCUCCCUUCCCACCUCCUCCCUUUUUUUUUUCCUUUUCUCUUGAUUUUUCUUCUCUUGGCGCAUAGACCACUUGUGGGCUGUCCCACCAGCCCACUAAGGGCUGGUGUGUCUCCCCCAAGGCCUAUGGGCUUCCCCGGGGUGGGUUGCCCCCCCCCCCGGUGAACUCCCGGAACCCAUUCGUCAUUCCCGGUACAUUCCCGGUAACUCCGAAAACCUUCCGGUAAUCAAAUGAGGUCAUCCUAUAUAUCAAUCUUCGUUUCCGGACCAUUCCGGAAACCCUCGUGACGUCCGUGAUCUCAUCCGGGACUCCGAACAACAUUCGGUAACCAACCAUAUAACUCAAAUACGCAUAAAACAACGUCGAACUUUAAGUGUGCAGACCCUGCGGGUUCGAGAACUAUGUAGACAUGACCCGAGAGACUGCUCGGUCAAUAUCCAAUAGCGGGACCUGGAUGCCCAUAUUGGAUCCUACAUAUUCUACGAAGAUCUUAUCGUUUGAACCUCAGUGUCAAGGAUUCGUAUAAUCCCGUAUGUCAUUCCCUUUGUCCUUCGGUAUGUUACUUGCCCGAGAUUCGAUCGUCAGUAUCCGCAUACCUAUUUCAAUCUCGUUUACCGGCAAGUCUCUUUACUCGUUCCGUAAUACAAUAUCCCGCAACUUACACUAAGUCACAUUGCUUGCAAGGCUUGUGUUUGAUGUUGUAUUACCGAGUGGGCCCCGAGAUACCUCUCCGUCACACGGAGUGACAAAUCCCAGUCUCGAUCCAUACUAACUCAACGAACACCUUCGGAGAUACCUGUAGAGCAUCUUUAUAGUCACCCAGUUACGUUGCGACGUUUGAUACACACAAAGCAUUCCUCCGGUGUCCGUGAGUUAUAUGAUCUCAUGGUCAUAGGAACAAAUACUUGACACGCAGAAAACAGUAGCAACAAAAUGACACGAUCAACAUGCUACAUUUAUUAGUUUGGGUCUAGUCCAUCACAUGAUUCUCCUAAUGAUGUGAUCCCGUUAUCAAGUGACAACACUUGCCUAUGGCCAGGAAACCUUGACCAUCUUUGAUCAACGAGCUAGUCAAUUAGAGGCUUACUAGGGACAGUGUUUUGUCNNNNNNNNNNNNNNNNNNNNNNNNNNNNNNNNNNNNNNNNNNNNNNNNNNNNNNNNNNNNNNNNNNNNNNNNNNNNNNNNNNNNNNNNNNNNNNNNNNNNGUGCUGGCCGGAGUGUUGGGGAGGAGGGUGCGUGGGGCUUACCGGCCGGAGGUAUCGACGGCGCGCGGCGAGGAGGACGGCGGCGCGCGGUGAGGAGGACGGCGGCGGCGGCGAGCAGGACGGCGGGCAGCCUGACGGCGUCGUCGAGUUCGUCGCUUGCCGCGCCGGGCAGGAGAACGAGAGGAAGAAGAAGAGAAAAUGGACGAUUUGGGUUCGAAAUUUUCUAACUCCCGCUUAUACAGGUGAAUCUUUAGUCCCGGUUCGUGGCUCGAUCCGGGACUGAAGCCCCUUUAGUCCCGGGUGGAGCCACGACCCGGGACUAAAGACCCUUUUUCGGCUGACCAGAAGGCGGGAAGCAAGGGCCUUUAGUCCCGGGGCAUGGCUCGAUCCGGGACUAAAGACCCCCUUUAGUCCUGGGUGGAGCCACGACCCGGGACUAAAGGCCCUUUUUUGGCUGACCAAAAGGCGGGAAGCAGGGGCCUUUAGUCCCGGGGCGUGGAAAGAACUGGGACUAAAGUUUUGCCUAUAUAAACCCUCGCCCCUGCCCACCAUAUCCCGUGUUUUUGGUUGUUGAAGUGUGACCAUGUCACGCUCUUGCCACUCUAGUUCAUGCACAUGACGUGUUCGAUGAAAUGCCUAAGCCACUCUACUUAAGCUUUCUCCUCUCCAAUCUCGACCUCCAAGCUCCAUUUUCCUUAAUAUUUGUCUAGGUUUGGCCGUGCACCAACUGCGAGCACCACCGUGGUGAGCCUCUUGUUCUUAUCUUCUUUUUAAAAUCAAAAAAAUCUUACUUGUAUGAUUUAGAUACAUACUUGUAUAAAUUACUCACUUUCAUUAUUUUUUGUUAUUAUAUAGUGCGAUGGUUUUGGUAUCCGCCUCCGUCGGCCCUCGUCCUGUCUAUGAUUCGGAUGUGGUAUAUAUUAUGUUUUAUAACUAUUUGUUUUAUUUAGUGUUUAUGACAAUUAUGAAGACCAAUGUGACAUAUAUUUUUUAAUCUAGGAGGUAUGUGAAUCGGAAAUUCCAACCCACAUAAAAAUUCUUGUCGAGAAGUUAAAUUUGGUUGAAAAAGAAAACAAAUACUUGAAGAAAAAAAUUGAAAAUAAUUGAGGAUAAGAAUAUGGAACUGGAGUUGCAUAUCACCGAUGUCAUCGAUGAUCGCAAGAUGAAGAUCCAUGCGAUGCGGUUGAAGAUGGAUGCAAUGCGCUUGAAGAUGGAUGAAAUGCGCUUCAAGAUUAGGAAUAUUAGAAAAUAUGCCAUUGAUAAAGAGGCUUGGUAUCAUUAUGUUGUUGAGUCAAUUGUUACCUUAGUUGCGAUUUUGAUCGCGUUUGUUGUUGCAUUUAAAUGUUUUACAUAGUUGUAUGUUGUUUUAUGAGAGAACUUUAUGUAUUUAUUUUUUGCAAUAAUAACAUUUGAUCACUACUGUUCUUUGGCUUUAAUGUGAUGAUGAACUUGUAUUAAUUUGGUCAUAUGUUCUGCAAUGGUUUUUUGAUAUAUUUGAUUUCAUAAUAGAGAUGAAUCGCCAAUGAUAAUAUUUAAUUUCAUAAUAUGGUUUUUUGAACUCCAUACUUUUUGACUUCAUUUGGUAUAUUUUGUGGAUUUACUUAUUUUUUUGAGCUAGUUGACCCUGAAAUCGAAAAGCACUACAAAUGAACUCUGAAAAUGUUGAAAGUUGGCAUGCUAUCAUCAUUUCACCCACAUAGCAUGUGUUAAAAAGUUGAGAGGGCUACGACAAAAACUGGAUGCACUUCGUGUACAAAACGGACAAUCUCUCUCGAAGUAUCAGGGUUUCGAACGAGAACUCAUCUCUUACAAAGGGAUUUCAUUUUUGUGAACUUAUUUGAACUCCAUACUUUUUGUGUGUUCAAAAUGCACCAUNNNNNNNNNNNNNNNNNNNNNNNNNNNNNNNNNNNNNNNNNNNNNNNNNNNNNNNNNNNNNNNNNNNNNNNNNNNNNNNNNNNNNNNNNNNNNNNNNNNNGAACAAGGAAAUAUGAUAUUAACCAUUUUAUUAUUGCCUCUAGGGCAUAUUUCCAACACUUCGCUCAUCAAGAAAAGAUCCACUAGCCUGCAACUCAAGCGUGAAGGUUGUCGAGCGUGGCCGAGAGGGUGAAGGAGGCCAAUCUGUAUUGGUGCCUGGUUCAGGUGAAAAGUCAGGAAGCUCAACUCUGGUUGAAAUUUUUGCAUCGCCAAAACAAACGUGUGUAGCAGAAAUUUUUCUGUCGCCUCCGACAGUAAUGGAGGAAAGGACACCACCACCUGUAUCCAUAAAGCUACAGCCGGUAUCAGUCCCGCGAUCAGUCCCACGAUCUAGUACCGAACGGACGGCACCUCCGCGUUUAGCACACGUACAGCUCGACGAUGAUCUCGGCCUUCUUGAUCCAGCAAGAGAGACGGAGAGGUAGAAGAGUUCUCUGGCAGCGUGACGGCGCUCCGGAGGNNNNNNNNNNNNNNNNNNNNNNNNNNNNNNNNNNNNNNNNNNNNNNNNNNNNNNNNNNNNNNNNNNNNNNNNNNNNNNNNNNNNNNNNNNNNNNNNNNNNNNNNNNNNNNNNNNNNNNNNNNNNNNNNNNNNNNNNNNNNNNNNNNNNNNNNNNNNNNNNNNNNNNNNNNNNNNNNNNNNNNNNNNNNNNNNNNNNNNNNNNNNNNNNNNNNNNNNNNNNNNNNNNNNNNNNNNNNNNNNNNNNNNNNNNNNNNNNNNNNNNNNNNNNNNNNNNNNNNNNNNNNNNNNNNNNNNNNNNNNNNNNNNNNNNNNNNNNNNNNNNNNNNNNNNNNNNNNNNNNNNNNNNNNNNNNNNNNNNNNNNNNNNNNNNNNNNNNNNNNNNNNNNNNNNNNNNNNNNNNNNNNNNNNNNNNNNNNNNNNNNNNNNNNNNGGGGAGGACUCCCCCCCCAAACCGAGUUGGACUUGGUUUGGUGGGAGGGAGUCCCCCUUCCUUCCCACCUCCUCCUUUUUUUUUCUUUUCUCUUGAUUUUCUCUUCUUGGCGCAUAGAGCCCUUUUGGGCUGUCCCAACAGCCCACUAAGGGCUGGNNNNNNNNNNNNNNNNNNNNNNNNNNNNNNNNNNNNNNNNNNNNNNNNNNNNNNNNNNNNNNNNNNNNNNNNNNNNNNNNNNNNNNNNNNNNNNNNNNNNGUGGUGGCCUACGUGGAGGAUCUUUAAGUGGUGGAACGGAUGGGCUUUGCUCAUCAAGAAAAGUUCCACUAGCCUGCAACUCAAGCGUGAAGGUUGUCGAGCGUGGCCGAGAGGGUGAAGGAGGCCAAUCUGUAUUGGUGCCUGGUUCAGGUGAAAAGUCAGGAAGCUCAACUCUGGUUGAAAUUUUUGCAUCGCCAAAACAAACGUGUGUAGCAGAAAUUUUUCUGUCGCCUCCGACAGUAAUGGAGGAAAGGACACCACCACCUGUAUCCAUAAAGCUACAGCCGGUAUUUCAUACAUAUCCAGAGGAUACUCUUCGGACGAUUGACCCGGUAAAGAUCAAAGGAAGUGGGCGAAGGUGUCUAGCAAUUGUCGAGAAACCGGCAGAUUUUGAAGACGCAAAUACGAAGGAGUGUCGGCGUCAUGCUAUGAAAGAAGAGUUGGGGUUGAUCCACGACAACAAUGCAUGGGAGCUUGUGGAUCUUCCCAACAAUGAAAAAAACAUGGAGCUCAAGUGGGAAUUUACGAUUAAGAAAGAAGCUAAAGGAAAUUGUGUGAAGCACAAGGCGAAGCUAGUAGAGGACAUGCAAGAUGAAGGUGUGGGCUUCAAAGAAGUGUUCCUUCCCAUUGCACAGAUGGAAUCGGUGAGAUUACUCAUCACUCUCGCGGCUCAAGAAUCAUGGAAGAUACAUCACAUGGAUGUAAAAUCCACGUUCUUGCACGGUGAGAUGGAAGGAGAUGUGUAUGUGAAUCAAGCACCGAGCUUCAUCAAGGAGGGAGAAGAACACAAGGUAUUGAAGCUACACAAAGUCUUGUAUGGGCGACGGCAAGACCUUCGGGCGUGGAAAAUUAAACUUGAUCAGACUAUGAUUUCUCUUGGAUUUGAGAAAGCCCCACUGGAGCAUACAAUGUACAAGAAAGGUGAAGGAAGGGAUCGUCUACUAGUUGGCAUCUACGACGAUGAUCUAUUGAUUACUGGAGCAGAUGAAGAUGUGAUUGCAAAGUUCAAGCUACAAAUGAAGAAGCUUUUCGACAUGGAUGAUCUAGGUCUUUUGAGUUGCUACCUCGGGCCAGAGGUACAUCAAAAGUCGGAAGGGAUCACACUAUGCCACGAGGCAUACGCAAGGAAGAUACUUGAAAGUUGUGGCAUGAAAGAUUGCAAUCCAAUUGAUGCUUCAAUGAAACCUCGUCUUGAGCUGAGCAAGAAGAAGAUGGCGAGCCUACUCGGCUACAGUGGUAGCGACAAGGAAGGAAUUGUUGACGACCGUAAGAGUACCUCGGACGUGGCAUAUUUCUUUGAUGGAAGCAUAGUAAGAUGUCUAUCACGAAAGCAGAAAGUGGUGACAUCGACUUCAAGUGAAGCAGAGUGUCAAGGUGUGUGGCUAGGAAGACUACACGGCGAUCUCAUGUAUCGAGAUCCGAAACGAGUGGUGCUCAAUAUUGGCAACGAGUCUAUAUUUUUUCUACGCGAGGAUCCAGUGCGGCGUGACGGGAGCAAGCACAUUGAUACGAUGUAUCACUACAUGAAGGACUGCGUAGAAGAAGGGAAGACGGAGGUCAACUACAUUUGCACCAAUGACCAACUUGCAGAUAUCCUAACCAGAUCUUUAGGACGACAAAAGUUCAUGAAGAUGACGACGGAUUAGUGUCCAAGCUGUGAAGUGAGGACAUCGUGCUUAGGAGGGUGAUUGUUGGAAUUAACCACGAUGUAUAGUCUAUGUCCGGCUCGGACUAGAGUCAGUCACCGUAUAGGAUUUCUAGUAGGCUAGGUUAACUACUAUGGCUCCUAUAUAUACUCUUGUAACCCCGUGUACUCAUAUCAAUACAUAGCAAUACAACAUCAGGACCGAUACAAUCCUAUGGCCAUACUAUCUCGUGUGUUCUCGCCGCAUGUCUAGCCGGCUGCGUACGUGCUAGCUAGCACAGGAGGAAUCCAUCCAGCAGCCUGCUAGGCUGCUUCGUGUAUACGUGCACGUUGCUGUCUAUAUCUACGUCUAUGUCUCCGACACAACCGAUUAGCUCGAAAAGUACUCGAGCUACUCUCGUACGCGUGUAUCAUUGGAAAGUACACGGCGGAUUGCAGCGGUGAGAUACGGCCUGUGCUAACAGGGAGCUCUGGAAUCAGAUUUUAAUGUUCCAAGCUUCCUUCUAGGCAGAGUUAAGUGGUGGUUCCAGCGGUAAGAAAUGCAUUUCCAUGGAACACAAUAAGCAUGAUGAUCUGCCAUGCCAUAGUAAUGCAACUGGUCAUGACUGUAUGAUGACCUGAUGAGCUCUUUGAUGCGAAAAAGCCGAAUUGUUUUCACCAUCCACAAUGCAUAGAGAUCCUUUGUUGGGUGGAAUAGUCCAUGUUCCACUCUUUUGAUUCUAAGAUAUUAGAUCGAGUAAGCCAAUAAAAAGUGCACAUUUUGUUUUGUGAACUGAUUCCUACAUGAUUCCAGGGGCUCCCUAAAUAAUAUAGAAGAUGCGAACAUAUAUGUUGUUAAAAGGUUCAUAAUAUUUAAGGUGGUUUACUGUUCACCCAUCAGCAUCCCAACGUAUGCUCCAGUGAGUAAAUUUAGUCCAUGUAUGCAAUACUUCUGUAAUUACCGUGAGUGUGCAGAACGACGAGCCUACCGUCAAGGUUGUGCCCUAUGCAAGUGACGGUCACGUUACGCUAAGAGCAUGGUUAAUAGUAUAGGCAGUAUAGUAUAGCCAACUGCCGGAAAUUCGUUGACAUGGACGGGCUCGCCUGCUAACGGUAUCGCUGGGCAUCGAAUAGCAUCAGGAUAUGGAUAGCGUGCCGUAUUUUUGGGUGUAGACGACGGGUUAGUUAUUGCAAGACGAGGACGGCCCGAGACGAUGUUUACACCGCACGGGCCGUCGAUCGUUCAAGUAAUAGCGGGUGUUGGGAAACUGGGCCAGCCUAUCGGGCGCGAUAGCGAGGCUGGCUUUCGUGCGAGGCGCCAUUCCUUAUUGUUUUCCCUGUUUCCGUUAAGUGGAUUCUUAUCCCUUGACCCCAUAUCUCUAUAUAAAGACUAUUAUUGGCCGGUGCCGGUGCGUCUGGAUCUCAAGGCUAUUAUUCAUUAUAGGAGAUGAUGAAUAGAGCUGGAGGGAGCAUGCCUACAGGGCAAUAUGCAAAAGGCUCAAUUGACCCUCUUGCUACAGAAGCGGUUGAUAUUGAAGAAAAGACAGCCAAAAAACCCACUGCCCCACAUGAAAAGGUUGCACAAUCUAUGCAGGUUCAUCCGGUCCCAAACCAAAGAAAGUCAAACCAAAUCCUUGUAUAGAAGACAGGUUGCAUGCCACCAUACUUGCAUAUAGUGAAAGGAUUUCUGUUGCUAUAGAGAAGAAUUCUAACAUCAAGAACAGUGCCAUAGAUGGUCCUUGGGAGAGCAUGAAAGUACUCCAAGGGUUCAGUUUGAAUUACCUUCACUAGUGGGGACAGAGCCUAUAGCCCCGGUCCGUAAGGGGCUUUAGUCCCGGUUCACCAACCGAGACUAAAGGGGCGAGACUAAAGGCCUAACCUUUAGACCCGGCCCUGUUACAAGCCGGGACUAAAGGUGCUCCACGUGGGCGCCUCGUAGCGCCCCACGGGCAGGACCUUUAGUCCCGGUUCGUUACACGGGCCGGGACUAAAGAUUUUUAGAUUUUGCUGGUUUUUGGGUUUUUUUUUGAAUGAAAUUAUUUUUGGGUUUUAGGGGUUUUAGGGUUUAGGUGUUCGGAAGAUUAACGUGAUGCCUCGUUUGGUGUUCGGGAAUUAGUUUUCAUAUAAUUUAAAUAGAAAUAAUUAUGCGUAUAUAUAUAAGAUUAACUUAUCUUACAAGCGAGCAUAUAUAUAUACAAUUAUAUGCAGAUCUGAAUUAUCGGGACUAGAGCCCGUCUAUUCGAUUACAUGGACGAACAUCAGUAAUGGCCCCUAUUUACACUAAAUCGUCCUUUGUCAUCUAUAGCUUCCGUCCUCAGAAACCCCGCAAGCUCCUCUACAACAGCAAUCGCGCGUUGCUCUGGUAGGGCCUUCGUCCUCAUGGCCGUGUGCUAUAUAAGAAGAGGAGAUGAAUAUGAAUAUCAAUCAUGAUAACAAAGAAUGACGGGUAAAAAUAGAGGUAUGAAUGUUCAUUGCUUACGUCAAAUCUGUGAUCCUUGAGCUCAGAGGUAAACGUGCGAAUGGUCUCGCAAACAUAGUAUCCGCAUAGAUGCGUUCCCCGUGGCUGCUGGUCGCACUUUACGAGAAUAGAAUAUAUAUAUAAUCAAAAUAAUAAUCUAGCAUCAUAAAUGUAUUGAAAAUUAAUAGAAGUAUAUCAUACUACUACUUACCUGAGCCGCUCUAAAGGUCAGCUUCUCAGGAAAGUUACCGGGAGUCACGCACUUGAACCGCUUCCAAACCCUGCCCGAUAAGGAUAAUGAGUUGCUAAGUUUUUCAUUAAUUGAUAUAUCAGAAAAUCAUCAAAAGAGACCGAUAGAGCGCAAGAAUGAUUAAAAUUACCCUUGGAGCAUGUCCUGCAGGCUUUGGAACUGUUCCAAGGGUCUCGAUAAUGGGUCGAAUGCAUCAAUUCUUCCCUUAUCAAUUUGAAUGUCCAACAUAAUCCAAUGAAAGCUGCACAUGUAUAUAUAUAUAUAUAUGUGUGUGUGUGUGUGUGUGUGUGUCAGUAACUUAUCAAUUACACUUAUAAAUGAAUGGACACAACAGAGUAAAGACCCUCGCUUGAAGUUGUAUGGAAACAGUAUGUGGUCACAGAAAUUUUGAUCUGUUAGAAACCUUAGAAGGUUUUCCUCCGUCUCCUUGGGAUAAUUAGUUAGCGUCGCUAUAUGUAUUUUAUCUGGGUCAAUAAACCCAAUAUUUAGGAUGCUCUUACUUUUACAAUCCAGAAUCUUCAUUCUGCAUAAUAGAGUACAAGUUAUAUAUAGACAAUGAUUUGAAAUAACUAAACAAGUUAUAUGCAGACAACGAAUUGAAAAACUUAUAGACAAUACCAACUCAUAAGCGAUUUGUCGAGGGUGUCGCCAUUGUACAUCUGGAAGAGUUCAUCAAAGUCGAUAUGGAUUUGUUCAGGGCGGCCGUAGUACUCCUGUGGGACACUCAGCACGAUCAUCGGUCUUCCAUUCUUUAAUUCACUUAAGUACCAUGUAUGCAAGUAACGCAUAUUUGUUGGGAGAUCAUCUUUGUUGCCCAUGACAAACUUUGGCUUAGGGGCUACCACAGCCUUGGGUAUCUUGUCGUCUUGGGAAGACAGCAAUUCUUCAACUGAGAUACCACAUGCAGCCGCCAACUCCUUUGCUCUUUCUAAAGCUAGCCCCUGCACGGGAGGGGGAAAAUUCUCGGCUAACACCUUGAGGGGUGGGAUCGACUGUUUGGCCUGUUGUCCAAGCUGAGGAACGUCUGAUUUUUUUUCUUGCUUGUAGUUGAACUCCUCUUUUUCACUUCCUUCUGCAAUGUGCGUGUAUAGUCAUCAGGCUUAUGGUGUAAGUCAUAAGGUCUGAUAGGAAGAUUAGCAUGACGUACCUUUGGGAGGGGCGACCGUUUGCGCUUUGCGGUGCUCUGUGGCUUAGGAAUCGUCGGCGAGCGUUCUUGGUGGCACGCUCCCGCUUAGUAUCCGGAGCGGGCGGCGGCGGAGACGGACGACCCAAGUCCGGCGGCGGUGAUCGAGAUCUGCUCUUUUUCACUUCCUUCUGCAAUGUGUGUGUAUAGUCAUCAGGCUUAUGGUGUAAGUCAUACUGUGAUGGAAGGGUCGUAAAGUAUUGUGCAAAUGCUAUUUGCUUCUAGGUGUAUUCCGGGCGGGGCUCGGGUUUCUUCUUUUUCAUCUGCGCAUCAUGAUAUUCCUUUGCUAUCCUGGCGUUUUCCUCGGGGGUACGAUCAUAAGGUCCGAUAGGAAGAUUAGCAUGACGUACCUUUGGGAGGGGCGACCGUUUGCGCUUUGGGGUGCUCUGUGGCUUAGGAAUCGUCGGCGGAGCGUUCUUGGUGGCACGCUCCCGCUUUGUAUCCGUGGCAGGCUCAGGCUUUGUAUCCGGAGCGGGCGGCGGCGUUGCGUUCUUGGUGGCACGGUCCCGCUUUGUAUCCGUGGCAGGCUCAGGCUUUGUAUCUGGAGCGGGCGGCGGCGGAGCGUUCUUGGUGGCACGCUCCCGCUUUGUAUCCGUGGCAGGCUCAGGCUUUGUAUCCGGAGCGGGCGGCGGCGGAGCGUUCUUGAUGGCACGCUCCCGCUUUGUAUCCAUGGCUGGCUCAGGGAUUGUAUCCGGAGCGGGCGGCGGCGGAGCGUUCUUGGUGGCACGCUCCCGCUUUGUAUCCGUGGCAGGCUCAGGGUUUGUAUCCGGAGCGGGCAGCGGCAGAGCGUUCUUGGUGGCAUGCUCCCGCUUUGUAUCCGUGGCAGGCUCAGGGUUUGUAUCCGGAGCGGGCAGCGGCAGAGCGUUCUUGGUGGCAUGCUCCCGCUUUGUAUCCGUGGCAGGCUCAGGGUUUGUAUCCGGAGCGGGCAGCGGCAGAGCGUUCUUGGUGGCAUGCUCCCGCUUUGUAUCCGUGGCAGGCUCAGGGUUUGUAUCCGGAGCGGGCAGCGGCGGAGACCGACGACCCAAGUCCGGCGGCGGUGAUCGAGAUGGACUCGUGUUGUGCUGGCCGACGUCAUGUGGAGGGCUUGGAGGUAAUGGAGGUGUAGGUGACCUGCGACGACUCGGAGGCGGUGUUGUCCUUGGGGCCGAGCCUGGACGCUUGAUGUAGUUCUUGUCCCAUAGGAUGACUCCACCCAGUACUUCUUCGAGUGUCCUCUCAUCUUCGGGUCCAGCUAUGUCGAGCUCCAUAUCAUUAAACCCCGUCAUGAUUUCAUCCACCCCGACUUUAGCAAAGCCAUCUGGAAUCUCACGGCCAUGCCAGCGUGCAUUAGGGCCAGAAGGUAAAGCUUGUCCGACGGCCACCUUCAUGGAUAUGUUCUUGAAUUUCUGAUGAAGUUCACAUGAUAUUGAAUCCUUGAUUCCAUCCACGGGGUAGCCGGGACCGCCCUCUAUCAUUCUUCGUUCAUCGUCGGGCGGGGCCUCAGAUUCAGCCAUGCUGCUUUUCCGCUUAGAUGGGGCGCUGGUAAUAUCAAGUGCAGGAUCUUCCUGGCGCGGUACUCCUCUAAGCUCAUCAAUCUUCUUCUGUUGCUCGUUAAUCCUGGCAAGCAACUGGUUGAACUUGUCAUUCUCCUCAUCCUGCUGCCGCUUCUUUGCUCUCUCUCGGCUUCUGUAAGUGUCUUGGUCUCUGGCAAACCCAAGCCACCACGGGUAAGAUGGACCGAAGCCUCGCGUUCGUCCUCCAUGUUCGUCAUUGCCAAGGACCAGUGUGAGCAAAUCUUUCUCUCUAUCUGCAGUGAACUUUCUUUGUCCCUCCUUAAUUUCUUUCACUAUCCUUUUCCAAUUCUCCCUGGGUAUCCUAAGAUUUUCAUUGCAGAUGAGGUCCCCUGUUUUUUCGUUGUACGACCCACCAUGCGCAAGGAACCAAUUUCUUUCUCUCAAUUCCCACUCAUCACGGAGUGGUUCAGGUACGAUGCCUUUAUCUAUCAGAUCUUGCUCUUUCUUUUCCCACUUUGGGAUGGCAGUCUCAUAGCCCCCUGGCCCAGCUUGUGGUGAUAUUUCUUCUUGUCGGCAUUUAUCUUGUUCUUUUCUGAUAAUUCCUGUGCAUCUUCUGACUCCUUGUACUCUUGAAAUUCCUUCCAGUGAUUCGCCUGCUUGGCUAGAUACCCCUCGAAUACUGGCACUUCCUUUGUCUUCAGAUAGUUUUUCCAUAGCUUCUUCUUCCAGCUACGGAACAGUUCGGCCAUCUUCUUUAGAGUCCACUGCUUGACUUUGGCCCUCAGUUUGUCUGCGGCGUCUUCAUUCUCACAUUCUAGCAGGUUGAAAUGUGACAUGAGAUUAUUCCAAAGAUUAUUUUUGUACCUUUCGGCGACAUAGUCACUAUCGGCUGCCCCUUUGCGCUUGUUCCACUCCCGAACGUUGAUCGGGACGUGAUCCCUAACGAGAACUUCGCAUUGCUUAUUGAAUGUGUCAGCAGCAUUCUUAGAAAUCUUGGGUUCGCCCGUAGGCAUUAUCACCUCAAAGGUGUAAUGCGUCUGUGCAUCCAACUUUCUAGUCGGGCCUCGUUUCGUAGAUUUGCUCGAUGUGGAGGCCUAAGAGGGAGAAACAUUCGUCAAAUGAAUGUAUAUGUAUACAAUAUAGAGCUAUCUCCAAUAUUUUUCACAUAUUACAAGUGAUUGUCGAACUUCAUAUGUAUACCUCGCCGGACUUUAUUAUUUCUUCACCGGCUUCUCCACCGGCUUCUCCAUCAGUGGAGCUAUCACCUUCUCCGUCAUUGGACCUAUCUCCUGCCCCAUCGGCUUCAUCUUCGUGUCGCUCGACCUCCAUUCCAUAUCCGGAGUCGUUUAGAUAUGACGUUGGAGAUUCGGUGGUUCAACAUCGGGGCCGUCUUUGAUUAUAUCUUCGAGAAGUUCUUCCUCUUCGAGGUUCCUGAUAUGUGGAUCCAUAGUUCUGCAAAAAACGGACAUUUGCUUAACUAAUAAACUAACAAAGUAUAUAAGAGGGGUUGGAAACUUCGAAGGCUCGUUUUAUAUAAGAGGACCUUUAGUCCCGGGUCUUGGCUAGAACCUAAACUCUAAAAUACCAGCCGGGCGGAGCCCAGUCCCGGACACUUAAGCAUAUACAAUAGCAAAAUUAAACUAGUUCUAUUAAUUUUCUUGCUAAAAAUAAACUAUUAACACUUAAGCAUAUACAAUAGAAAAAUUAAACUAUUAACACUUAAGCAUAUACAAUAGCAAAAUUAAGCAUAUACACUAUUAACACUUAAGCAUAUACACUAUUAACACUUAAGCAUAUACACUAUACAAUAGCAAAAUUAAAUGACAAAAAAAAUAUUUCUUCUUCUUGUAACCCUAAACUAAUUUUUCCUCUUCUUCUAUUUCUCCUCUUCUUCUACUUCUUCUUCUACUUCUACUUCUCCUCUUCUUCUACUACUUCUCCUCUCAUCUUCUUCUAUUUUUCCUCUUCUUCUCCUCUCCUCCUCUUCUUAUUCUCCUUUUUCUUCUUUCUUCUCCUCCUCUUCUUAUUCUCCUUUUUCUUCCUUUCUUCUCCUUUUUCUUCUUUUCUUCUCCUUCUCCUUUUUCUUCCUUUCUUCUCAUUUUUCUUCGUUUCUUCUAUUUUUCUUCCUUUCUUCUCCUUUUUCUUCCUUUCUUCUCCUUUUUCUUCUUUUCUUCUCCUUUUUUUUUCUUCCUUUCUUCUCCUUUUUCUUCUUUGCUUGUGCUGGCCGGAGUGUUGGGGAGGAGGGUGCGUGGGGCUUACCGGCCGGAGGUAUCGACGGCGCGCGGCGAGGAGGACGGCGGCGCGCGGUGAGGAGGACGGCGGCGGCGGCGAGCAGGACGGCGGGCAGCCUGACGGCGUCGUCGAGUUCGUCGCUUGCCGCGCCGGGCAGGAGAACGAGAGGAAGAAGAAGAGAAAAUGGACGAUUUGGGUUCGAAAUUUUCUAACUCCCGCUUAUACAGGUGAAUCUUUAGUCCCGGUUCGUGGCUCGAUCCGGGACUGAAGCCCCUUUAGUCCCGGGUGGAGCCACGACCCGGGACUAAAGACCCUUUUUCGGCUGACCAGAAGGCGGGAAGCAAGGGCCUUUAGUCCCGGGGCAUGGCUCGAUCCGGGACUAAAGACCCCCUUUAGUCCUGGGUGGAGCCACGACCCGGGACUAAAGGCCCUUUUUUGGCUGACCAAAAGGCGGGAAGCAGGGGCCUUUAGUCCCGGGGCGUGGAAAGAACUGGGACUAAAGUUUUGCCUAUAUAAACCCUCGCCCCUGCCCACCAUAUCCCGUGUUUUUGGUUGUUGAAGUGUGACCAUGUCACGCUCUUGCCACUCUAGUUCAUGCACAUGACGUGUUCGAUGAAAUGCCUAAGCCACUCUACUUAAGCUUUCUCCUCUCCAAUCUCGACCUCCAAGCUCCAUUUUCCUUAAUAUUUGUCUAGGUUUGGCCGUGCACCAACUGCGAGCACCACCGUGGUGAGCCUCUUGUUCUUAUCUUCUUUUUAAAAUCAAAAAAAUCUUACUUGUAUGAUUUAGAUACAUACUUGUAUAAAUUACUCACUUUCAUUAUUUUUUGUUAUUAUAUAGUGCGAUGGUUUUGGUAUCCGCCUCCGUCGGCCCUCGUCCUGUCUAUGAUUCGGAUGUGGUAUAUAUUAUGUUUUAUAACUAUUUGUUUUAUUUAGUGUUUAUGACAAUUAUGAAGACCAAUGUGACAUAUAUUUUUUAAUCUAGGAGGUAUGUGAAUCGGAAAUUCCAACCCACAUAAAAAUUCUUGUCGAGAAGUUAAAUUUGGUUGAAAAAGAAAACAAAUACUUGAAGAAAAAAAUUGAAAAUAAUUGAGGAUAAGAAUAUGGAACUGGAGUUGCAUAUCACCGAUGUCAUCGAUGAUCGCAAGAUGAAGAUCCAUGCGAUGCGGUUGAAGAUGGAUGCAAUGCGCUUGAAGAUGGAUGAAAUGCGCUUCAAGAUUAGGAAUAUUAGAAAAUAUGCCAUUGAUAAAGAGGCUUGGUAUCAUUAUGUUGUUGAGUCAAUUGUUACCUUAGUUGCGAUUUUGAUCGCGUUUGUUGUUGCAUUUAAAUGUUUUACAUAGUUGUAUGUUGUUUUAUGAGAGAACUUUAUGUAUUUAUUUUUUGCAAUAAUAACAUUUGAUCACUACUGUUCUUUGGCUUUAAUGUGAUGAUGAACUUGUAUUAAUUUGGUCAUAUGUUCUGCAAUGGUUUUUUGAUAUAUUUGAUUUCAUAAUAGAGAUGAAUCGCCAAUGAUAAUAUUUAAUUUCAUAAUAUGGUUUUUUGAACUCCAUACUUUUUGACUUCAUUUGGUAUAUUUUGUGGAUUUACUUAUUUUUUUGAGCUAGUUGACCCUGAAAUCGAAAAGCACUACAAAUGAACUCUGAAAAUGUUGAAAGUUGGCAUGCUACUCAAAGGCACAACACAAAAUUUCAACAAUUUCUGACUUCAUUUGGUAUAUUUCGUGGAUUCACUUAUUUUUUUUGAGCUAGUUGACCCUAAAAUUGAAAAGCACUACAAAUGAACUCUGAAAAUGUUGAAAGUUGGCAUGCUAUCAUCAUUUCACCCACAUAGCAUGUGUUAAAAAGUUGAGAGGGCUACGACAAAAACUGGAUGCACUUCGUGUACAAAACGGACAAUCUCUCUCGAAGUAUCAGGGUUUCGAACGAGAACUCAUCUCUUACAAAGGGAUUUCAUUUUUGUGAACUUAUUUGAACUCCAUACUUUUUGUGUGUUCAAAAUGCACCAUUCAAAGUCACAACACAAAAUUUCAACAAUUUCUGACUUCAUUUAGUAUAUUUCGUGGAUUUACUUAUUUUUUUUGAGCUAGUUGACCCUGAAAUUAAAAAGCACUACAAAUGAACUCUGAAAAUGUUGGAAGUUGGCAUGCUAUCAUCAUUUCACCCACAUAGCAUGAGUUAAAAAGUUGAGAGGGCUACGACAAAAACUGGAUGCACUUCGUGUACAAAACGGACAAUCUCUCUCGAAGUAUCAGGGUUUCGAACGAGAACUCAUCUCUUACAUGGAUAAUAUGAAAAUGAAAAGUGUUUGAAAUUUAGAACGUUCCAUACAUGCAUUACAUAAAAGGUUUAAUACAUUAUUACAUUAUUGCACCAAUAUUCCUAUCUAUUAUUUCUGUUUUCUUCUGGGUCGUAGCCAUGGAGAAUCUUCAUCAUUCAGUAGGAUGCUUGGGUCAGUUUUUACUUUGAAGGGCGGAAUUUCAUGAAACUUAUUAUAAUCUUCUGACAUGUCUGUCUUGUCAUCUACUCCCACGAUGUUUCUUUUCCCUGAAAGAACUAUGUGGUGUUUUGGCUCAUCGGAUGAUAUCUUCUUUUGCUGAUUUCUUUUUCUCGUUAAUGUAGACAUGUCCUUCACAUAGAAAACCUGAGCGACAUCAUUGGCUAGGACAAAUGGUUCGUCCAUGUACGCAAGAUUGUUAAGAUCCACUGUUGUCAUGCCGUACUUUUGGUCUACAACUACACCGCCUCCUGUCAGCUUCACCCAUUUGCACCGAAAUAAAGGGAUCAUAAAAGUAGGUCCAUAGUCAAGUUCCCAUAUCUCCUCUAUGUACCCGUAAUAUGUUUCCAAACAGUGCCCAUUCUCGUCUGUUGCAUCAAAGCGGACACCACUAUUUUGGUUGGUGCUCUUUUUAUCUUGGGAAACCGUGUAAAAUGUAUUCUCAUUUAUCUCAUACCCUGGGAAAGUACAUAUAGUCGAAGAUGGUGGCCUGGCCAAACAGUACAGCUCAUCUCCAACGGUGUCGUCAUUCAUGAGAUGUGUCUGCAAGCAACUGCCGAAAGUCUUCUCGUGUUCCCCUUUAAUCCAAGAGUCAGCCUUCCCCGGGUUUUAGGAGCGUAGAAUAUUCUUGUGACUCACGAUAUACGGAGCCACCACGGUGGAAUUGUGUAGAACUGUGUAGUGUGCUUGAGAGAAAGAAUGCCCGUCCAUACAUACUUUUGCUUUCCUUCCUAGUGUGCCUUUUCCUGUCAGCCUACCCUCAUACCGAGAUUCAGGAACACCAAUCGGCUUAAGGUCAGGAAGAAAGUCCACACAAAACUCAAUGACCUCCUCUGUUCCAUAGCCCUUGGAGAUGCUUCCUUCUGGCCUAGCACGGUUACGAACAUAUUUCUUUAAGACUCCCAUGAACCUCUCGAAGGGGAACAUAUUGUGUACAAACACAGGACCGAGAAUUCUAAUCUCUUCGACUAGGUGAACUAGGAGGUGUGUCAUUAUAUUGAAGAAGGAUGGCGGGAACAACAACUCAAAGCUGACCAGACAUUGGACCACAUCAAUCUGUAACCCUGAUAGACUUUCUCAAUCGAUUACCUUCUGAGAAAUUGCAUUGAGGAAUGCACAUACCUUCACAAUUGCCAGGCGAACAUUUUCCGGUAGAAUUCCCCUCAAUGCAACCGGAAGCAAUUGCGUCAUAAGCACGUGGCAGUCAUGAGACUUUAGGUUUUGGAAUUUUUUGUCUUUCAUAUUUACGAUUCCCUUUAUAUUCGACGAGAAGCCAGUCGGGACCUUGAUACUGAAAAGGACUUCAAAGAAGAUUUCCUUCUCUUCCUUAGUAAGAGCGUAGCUGGCACGCCCUUGAAACUGCCCUGGAUGCAUGCCAUCUCUUCCUUUAUGACGUUCCUGGUCCUCCCAUGCUUCCGGUGUAUCUUUUGACUUCCCAUACAAGCCCAGCAAGCCUAGAAUAUUCACGCAGAGAUUCUUCGUCAGGUGCAUCACGUCGAUUGCCGAACGGACCUCAUGGACUUCCCAGUAGGGUAGCUCCCAAAAUAUAGAUUUUUUCUUCCACAUGGGUACGCGCUUAUUAGGGCCGUUAGGAACAGGUUGGCUGCCAGGACCCUUUCCAAAGAUUACUUUUAAAUCUUUGACCAUAUCAAAUACUUCAGCACCAGUACGGAUGACAGGCUUCCCCCGGGGUUCUGCCUUGCCAUUGAAAUGCUUGACUUUUUUCUUUAAGGGAUGCUUGGGCGGAAGAAAACAACGAUUGUACGGAUACACAUUCUUCCUAGAGUUGUCGAGAUAUAUACUUUCUGUCUGAUCCAAACAGUGCGUGCAUGCAUUGUAUCCCUUGUUUGACUGUCCUGAAAUGUUACUAAGAGCAGGCCAAUCAUUGAUGGUUAUGAAAAGCAACGCUCGAAGGUCAAAUUCCUCUUGUUUGUGCUCGUCCCACACACGUACACCUGGUUCGGCCCACAGCUGUAAAAGUUCAUCAACUAAUGGCCUUAGGUACACAUCAAUAUCGUUGUCGGGUUGCUUUGGACCUUGUAUAAGCACUGGCAUCAUAAUGAACUUCCGCUUCAUGCACAACCAAGGAGGAAGGUUGUAGAUACAUAGAGUAACGGGCCAGGUGCUGUGACUGGAACUCUGCUCCCCAAAAGGAUUCAUGCCAUCUGUACUCAGACCUAACCAUAAGUUUCUUGCGUCAGCUGCAAAUCUCGGGAACUCUCUCUCGAUUUUUGUCCACUGCCGACCAUCAGCGGUGUGCCUCAACUUAUCGUCUUUCAUACGAUCUUCCAUGUGCCAUCGCAACAACUUCGCAUGAUCUUUAUUGCUGAACAGACGUUUCAACCGUGGUAUUAUAGGAGCAUACCACAUCACCUUGGCAGGAACCCUCUUCCUGGGUGGCUCGCCCUCAAUAUCACCAGGGUCAUCUUUUCUGAUCUUAUACCGCAAUGCAGUGCAUACCGGGCAUUUAUCCAUAUUCUCGUACUUCUCACCGCGGUAGAGGAUGCAGUCAUUAGGGCAUGCAUGUAUCUUCUGCACGUCUAAUCCUAGAGGGCAGACAAGCUUCUUUGCUUCGUACGUGCUGGCGGGCAAUUCGUUCUUUCUUGGAAGCAUCUUCUUCAUCAUUACCAGCAACUUUUCGAAUGACGAGUUAGUCACACCGGUCUCUGCCUUCCACUUCAGCAAUUCCAGUGUGCUACCCAACUUCUUCUUGCCAUCUUCACAAGUUGGGUACAACAAUUUGUUGUGGUCCUGUAACAUCUGCUCGAACUGCAACCUCUCCUUUUCUGUGUCGCAACCUCGCCGUGCAUCAGAAAUGACCCGGCCAAGAUCAUCAGCGGGCUCAUCUGGUUCCCGUUCUUCAUCCUGAUCUUCUUCUUCAUUGUCUUCCAUUGCGGUAUCAGUAUACACAGGGAACAUAGAUCGGUAGUUGUCAUCAUCGUUUUCUUCUUCUUCAUCGUCGUCUUCCAUCAUAACCCCUCUUUCUCCGUGCUUGGUCCAAACAUUAUAGCCCGGCAUAAAACCGGACCAAAGCAGGUGGCUCUGAAUGACUCUUGAGGAAGUGUAAUCCUUCUCAUUCCGACAUUCAACACAUGGACAAAACAUAUAGCCACCACCAUGCUUGUUCGCAUCGGCUGCAUCUCGAAAAGAAUGCACGCCUUCUCUGUAAGCGGUUGUGCGUCGAUCACCGUACAUCCAUGGAUGACUCAUUUGUGUUAUACGACAGUAUAUCAAAUACAAUCACGAUCCUAAAAAUUAGUACCGCACGGUCUAAACGAGGAAAUAUAGUUGCUAACCUUUUAGAAUAAGUAGAAAUAAAGAGGAAGAGGUUUAAGCGUGGCUCAGGCAUCUCAUAUCGUAGUUGUGUUCGGUGAACUGAAGCGGCAUCGCUCUAACACACAUUUCAACAAACACCUCUAGUGCAUCAAAAAAAAGUGGAGAGCAAGCACCCAGCCACAAUCCUCCAUCCAAGAAAAAUGCAAGGAAGAGGGGAGAGGGGGGCUGUGCUAUAUAUAGGCCGAGGACUUUAGUCCCGGUUUGAGACACAAACCGGGACUAAAGGUGGCGCACAUGCGGGCUGCCCACCGCGUAGCCCUUUAGUCCCGGUUUGGGUCACGAACCGGGACUACAGGCUCCUUACGGGCCGGGACUAAAGCCUCGAGGGAGGCAUUGAGAAUUGGGGCGACGUGGCCGGGCCUUUAGUCCCGGCCCAGAGGCAGGCCGGGACUAAAGGGUCCAGGCCAAAGGCCCGUUUUCCACUAGUGCUUGCUCACUACUAUGCAUAUUUGGUUGACAAUCCUCGUGUUGCUAUGACAUUCAAGUUGUUGGAGUAGGAUCAAUAAAAGGUUUGGGUUUCUAGGUAUGUCAAGAAUACCUUUCCUGAAGUGUAAGGAUGGUAUUCAAAGUCACAACACAAAAUUUCAACAAUUUCUGACUUCAUUUAGUAUAUUUCGUGGAUUUACUUAUUUUUUUUGAGCUAGUUGACCCUGAAAUUAAAAAGCACUACAAAUGAACUCUGAAAAUGUUGGAAGUUGGCAUGCUAUCAUCAUUUCACCCACAUAGCAUGAGUUAAAAAGUUGAGAGGGCUACGACAAAAACUGGAUGCACUUCGUGUACAAAACGGACAAUCUCUCUCGAAGUAUCAGGGUUUCGAACGAGAACUCAUCUCUUACAAAGGGAUUUCAUUUUUGUGAACUUAUUUGAACUCCAUACUUUUUGUGUGUUCAAAAUGCACCAUUCAAAGUCACAACACAAAAUUUCAACAAUUUCUGACUUCAUUUGGUAUUCUUCGUGCAUUUACUUUUUUUUUUUGAGCUAGUUGACGCCGUACUUUUGGUCUACAACUACACCGCCUCCUGUCAGCUUCACCCAUUUGCACCGAAAUAAAGGGAUCAUAAAAGUAGGUCCAUAGUCAAGUUCCCAUAUCUCCUCUAUGUACCCGUAAUAUGUUUCCAAACAGUGCCCAUUCUCGUCUGUUGCAUCAAAGCGGACACCACUAUUUUGGUUGGUGCUCUUUUUAUCUUGGGAAACCGUGUAAAAUGUAUUCUCAUUUAUCUCAUACCCUGGGAAAGUACAUAUAGUCGAAGAUGGUGGCCUGGCCAAACAGUACAGCUCAUCUCCAACGGUGUCGUCAUUCAUGAGAUGUGUCUGCAAGCAACUGCCGAAAGUCUUCUCGUGUUCCCCUUUAAUCCAAGAGUCAGCCUUCCCCGGGUUUUAGGAGCGUAGAAUAUUCUUGUGACUCACGAUAUACGGAGCCACCACGGUGGAAUUGUGUAGAACUGUGUAGUGUGCUUGAGAGAAAGAAUGCCCGUCCAUACAUACUUUUGCUUUCCUUCCUAGUGUGCCUUUUCCUGUCAGCCUACCCUCAUACCGAGAUUCAGGAACACCAAUCGGCUUAAGGUCAGGAAGAAAGUCCACACAAAACUCAAUGACCUCCUCUGUUCCAUAGCCCUUGGAGAUGCUUCCUUCUGGCCUAGCACGGUUACGAACAUAUUUCUUUAAGACUCCCAUGAACCUCUCGAAGGGGAACAUAUUGUGUACAAACACAGGACCGAGAAUUCUAAUCUCUUCGACUAGGUGAACUAGGAGGUGUGUCAUUAUAUUGAAGAAGGAUGGCGGGAACAACAACUCAAAGCUGACCAGACAUUGGACCACAUCAAUCUGUAACCCUGAUAGACUUUCUCAAUCGAUUACCUUCUGAGAAAUUGCAUUGAGGAAUGCACAUACCUUCACAAUUGCCAGGCGAACAUUUUCCGGUAGAAUUCCCCUCAAUGCAACCGGAAGCAAUUGCGUCAUAAGCACGUGGCAGUCAUGAGACUUUAGGUUUUGGAAUUUUUUGUCUUUCAUAUUUACGAUUCCCUUUAUAUUCGACGAGAAGCCAGUCGGGACCUUGAUACUGAAAAGGACUUCAAAGAAGAUUUCCUUCUCUUCCUUAGUAAGAGCGUAGCUGGCACGCCCUUGAAACUGCCCUGGAUGCAUGCCAUCUCUUCCUUUAUGACGUUCCUGGUCCUCCCAUGCUUCCGGUGUAUCUUUUGACUUCCCAUACAAGCCCAGCAAGCCUAGAAUAUUCACGCAGAGAUUCUUCGUCAGGUGCAUCACGUCGAUUGCCGAACGGACCUCAUGGACUUCCCAGUAGGGUAGCUCCCAAAAUAUAGAUUUUUUCUUCCACAUGGGUACGCGCUUAUUAGGGCCGUUAGGAACAGGUUGGCUGCCAGGACCCUUUCCAAAGAUUACUUUUAAAUCUUUGACCAUAUCAAAUACUUCAGCACCAGUACGGAUGACAGGCUUCCCCCGGGGUUCUGCCUUGCCAUUGAAAUGCUUGACUUUUUUCUUUAAGGGAUGCUUGGGCGGAAGAAAACAACGAUUGUACGGAUACACAUUCUUCCUAGAGUUGUCGAGAUAUAUACUUUCUGUCUGAUCCAAACAGUGCGUGCAUGCAUUGUAUCCCUUGUUUGACUGUCCUGAAAUGUUACUAAGAGCAGGCCAAUCAUUGAUGGUUAUGAAAAGCAACGCUCGAAGGUCAAAUUCCUCUUGUUUGUGCUCGUCCCACACACGUACACCUGGUUCGGCCCACAGCUGUAAAAGUUCAUCAACUAAUGGCCUUAGGUACACAUCAAUAUCGUUGUCGGGUUGCUUUGGACCUUGUAUAAGCACUGGCAUCAUAAUGAACUUCCGCUUCAUGCACAACCAAGGAGGAAGGUUGUAGAUACAUAGAGUAACGGGCCAGGUGCUGUGACUGGAACUCUGCUCCCCAAAAGGAUUCAUGCCAUCUGUACUCAGACCUAACCAUAAGUUUCUUGCGUCAGCUGCAAAUCUCGGGAACUCUCUCUCGAUUUUUGUCCACUGCCGACCAUCAGCGGUGUGCCUCAACUUAUCGUCUUUCAUACGAUCUUCCAUGUGCCAUCGCAACAACUUCGCAUGAUCUUUAUUGCUGAACAGACGUUUCAACCGUGGUAUUAUAGGAGCAUACCACAUCACCUUGGCAGGAACCCUCUUCCUGGGUGGCUCGCCCUCAAUAUCACCAGGGUCAUCUUUUCUGAUCUUAUACCGCAAUGCAGUGCAUACCGGGCAUUUAUCCAUAUUCUCGUACUUCUCACCGCGGUAGAGGAUGCAGUCAUUAGGGCAUGCAUGUAUCUUCUGCACGUCUAAUCCUAGAGGGCAGACAAGCUUCUUUGCUUCGUACGUGCUGGCGGGCAAUUCGUUCUUUCUUGGAAGCAUCUUCUUCAUCAUUACCAGCAACUUUUCGAAUGACGAGUUAGUCACACCGGUCUCUGCCUUCCACUUCAGCAAUUCCAGUGUGCUACCCAACUUCUUCUUGCCAUCUUCACAAGUUGGGUACAACAAUUUGUUGUGGUCCUGUAACAUCUGCUCGAACUGCAACCUCUCCUUUUCUGUGUCGCAACCUCGCCGUGCAUCAGAAAUGACCCGGCCAAGAUCAUCAGCGGGCUCAUCUGGUUCCCGUUCUUCAUCCUGAUCUUCUUCUUCAUUGUCUUCCAUUGCGGUAUCAGUAUACACAGGGAACAUAGAUCGGUAGUUGUCAUCAUCGUUUUCUUCUUCUUCAUCGUCGUCUUCCAUCAUAACCCCUCUUUCUCCGUGCUUGGUCCAAACAUUAUAGCCCGGCAUAAAACCGGACCAAAGCAGGUGGCUCUGAAUGACUCUUGAGGAAGUGUAAUCCUUCUCAUUCCGACAUUCAACACAUGGACAAAACAUAUAGCCACCACCAUGCUUGUUCGCAUCGGCUGCAUCUCGAAAAGAAUGCACGCCUUCUCUGUAAGCGGUUGUGCGUCGAUCACCGUACAUCCAUGGAUGACUCAUUUGUGUUAUACGACAGUAUAUCAAAUACAAUCACGAUCCUAAAAAUUAGUACCGCACGGUCUAAACGAGGAAAUAUAGUUGCUAACCUUUUAGAAUAAGUAGAAAUAAAGAGGAAGAGGUUUAAGCGUGGCUCAGGCAUCUCAUAUCGUAGUUGUGUUCGGUGAACUGAAGCGGCAUCGCUCUAACACACAUUUCAACAAACACCUCUAGUGCAUCAAAAAAAAGUGGAGAGCAAGCACCCAGCCACAAUCCUCCAUCCAAGAAAAAUGCAAGGAAGAGGGGAGAGGGGGGCUGUGCUAUAUAUAGGCCGAGGACUUUAGUCCCGGUUUGAGACACAAACCGGGACUAAAGGUGGCGCACAUGCGGGCUGCCCACCGCGUAGCCCUUUAGUCCCGGUUUGGGUCACGAACCGGGACUACAGGCUCCUUACGGGCCGGGACUAAAGCCUCGAGGGAGGCAUUGAGAAUUGGGGCGACGUGGCCGGGCCUUUAGUCCCGGCCCAGAGGCAGGCCGGGACUAAAGGGUCCAGGCCAAAGGCCCGUUUUCCACUAGUGCUUGCUCACUACUAUGCAUAUUUGGUUGACAAUCCUCGUGUUGCUAUGACAUUCAAGUUGUUGGAGUAGGAUCAAUAAAAGGUUUGGGUUUCUAGGUAUGUCAAGAAUACCUUUCCUGAAGUGUAAGGAUGGUAAGUGCACAUGUGUGGUGAACUGAUGAUUGCCUUGUACUUUUGAUGCAACCAUGCCUUGUACUUUUGAUGCAACCAAAACUUUAACUAUGGGUUCUAUGUAGUAGCUUUUUUGACAACCAAGACAAUAGCUAUGGGUUGUAUAACUAUUAAGUUCUAGUAGCACUGUAUGGAACGUUGAGCUAGCCAUGAUCUCUAUGCACUUGACUUAUGUAUGGAAUGUUGAACUAUUAUAUGUGAUGACGUUCAAAAAUUUUGCUAUUGUUUAUUGUGAUAAUGUUAAGAUUUUACAUACUGUAUUUUCCUUCUUUCCAACUAAACAUAUAUGAAUUAUGAGGGUAAUCUCAACACCUCAAGUAAAAAAGGUGACCACAGCCCUUAUUAUUCAUUUAUCCCUUGAACCAGAAACUCCAAUGGCUAUCAUCAACCAUAUUUCAUCCUUUCAACCAAACAAAACAUGAGAUAACCUCAACCUUCCAACCAAACAAAAAAAGGUCUAUCGCGUGGUAUACUCCUGUCAUUGCAGCGAGGUCGUGGACGCUUUAGUAAGUCCGGCAAUCAGUGUGCCAAGCAGCGGAGUGGCACCGGUCACGCAGGACUGAAGAUGUAUCCUUAGAAAUUCCAUUCAACGCUCUGUUUUGCUGAUUGCAUGCAUAUACGUAGUAUAAGCAGAUUGACUUCCCUUGCGUGCGGUAUGCUUUCAGAUCGGUUAUGGCCAUUUUCAUUAGCCAAACUACCCAGGUAGAAACAGAUGGACUUCAUAAACAGGGAUUAGGCGAAUAGGGGGCACUCGUUUCAAGAAAAAACAGCUUUGAAGGCCACUGUCGCCUUUGUCAGCGGAAACAACAAAUGUCAUAUUCCUGAAGCCAAGUUUCAAUUCAUCAUUUUUCUCAACAACGUCACGAACUCAGACGCGCAUCAACAUAGCCUGUUUAGGUAUCUUGUGUUUUCGCCGGAGUGUAAAAACUAAUCGUUGAAGUCGUCUGUAUCAAUAUCCCUUAUCUCUCUAUCGACGCCUCGAUAACCAGAUACCUCUAAAGAAGACACCGGAAAACAAAGACAUUCUACACCGCCUGCCUCUAGAUACCGUCGCACCACCUUCGACCCCAGAGCAAUAGGCUAAACAUGACACCUCCGUCAGAGCCACCAUGCAACACAAACCGGUACGUAACAGGCAUAACUUGACGUCUCCACAUAAAGCGUCGUGCAUAGCAUCCGCCGGUGGCCUCACCUGCCGAGCCGCAUCGAACCUAGCUAGUAUGUUGAUGAAAGGAACGUCCCACACCGCCCCAGCCUCAUAAUGGCCGUCACCACCUAAAGAUCUAGUCUCUGAGACGCCCACAAGUCAACAGAGUCAGCCACCCUCGAAAAUCAGGGGUCUCCGCCCCGAUUCCGGGCUCUAUAGGAACAACCCAGCGUCGCGCCAACCGCUGUCGUCAACCAUACAACAACAACCACCUAGUCCCUCGCGCGCUACCUGGUCAACCGCGAUGGUCCAUCAAUCACGCUAACGAGACGACCACCUUCGUAUCUCCCGCAUGCUGCAGCCCGCCAUCCUCCACAAGCCUGCCCGCCGGAGGAACCGAGCCUCCGGGUUGUCCGCCCCGCCACCAGGCGAGCACCGACUGCCCACGUAGCCACGCCCACCAGCCACCGUCGAAGAUCCCGGGAGCGCCACCCCGACGUCUGAGCUCCUGCAGCGCGAACAUCAGGGCGGAGGCCUCCGGUCGCGCGAACAUCAGGCUGAAGGCCUCCUGUCCAAGCUCCUGUGGAGCUCUUGUCGCACAAACAUCAGACCACGUGUCAUCUAGGGCUGACGGAGGAACAUCAGGCCGGAGGCCUCUUGUCACGCGAGAAUAUAGUAGCCGAGGACCCGCCGUCCACCAUGUGGCGCUUCACCCGACAGCUUCCUCCAAAGGGGCGGGUGACUAGAUCGGAGGCGAUGUAGGAGUGACGGCUAGCCCCCCCCCCCCCCNNNNNCGCGGCCUCCCCCCCCCCCCCCCCCCGGGUGCAAUGUGGGGACGGGGCAAACGAUUUCUUUAAAUGGGAGAAAUUUAACUUCCCCUUCUUUGGACCAACUAGGUAUGCCUACAAUCAUUUUAGUAUGAGUAUCAAGAUAAACAAGGUCCUUCGAAUUUUUUAAAUGACUAUCAAGAUAUUCUUUAUGGAUGGUUCCACGAAAACCAAGAUUGAUUCUCAAUAAAUACGGAAAAACUCAUGUGCAUCACCUGUCAAUUUUAGAAACUGAAUUCGGGUCGUUAGACUGCACAACCACAUACCCAACCACAGAGCAAGAUCUCGGCUGCCAAAAUGAUCCGUCGAUGACCCAUAGUUACCGCUCCCAUAUUGGAGUCGCCCUGACUUUAUUGAUGACACCUGAGAAUUCUUCAUGCACUCGGGGACUACAUAUGAAUGUAUAUAGACAUAUUUUAAAGUGAGGAUUCACUCAUUUUGCUCCGUAUGUAGUCCCCUAGUAAAAUCUAUAAAAAGAAUUAUAUUUAGAAAUAGAGAGAGUACUUAAUUAGUACACUCUUUUUUUUCUUCAAGAAGUUGUGUUUACCGAUGCAUUAAUUAUAAUAUAUCCUUACAUGGCCAGUAAAUGAUGAAGAAUGUCUACAUGCAUCGUUACGUUGCAUUAAUUAUAAUAUAUCCUUACAUGGCCAGUAAAUGAUGAAGAAUGUCUACAUGCAUCGUUACGUUGCAUUAAUUAUAAUAUAUCCUUACAUGGCCAGUAAAUGAUGAAGAAUGUCUACAUGCAUCGUUAAGUUUUCUCUUGAUCCUUUCAUGCACUGAUUUAAUACAUCUUGAAAUCUAGAAAUGUCAUGGUGAUCGAGUAGUAAAAUUGUGACUUAUAAAACAGGAAAAUCUUUUUUUAGACAUGCCCUACAAACCGAAAAGGAUAGUAUUUAUCUUUAGCGGUAUAACAACAUGGCAUGCAUGUUCCCUUCUUCACCUUCACAUGUAUAACAAUACUGUGUGUGGAAAUCAUGUUUACCCAACUCGGUGAUCGCCACAAACUCCAAACACAUGAUCCUUUAGACAUUCGGCAAUGUAUUUGUGUUCAGCCAAGUCAGCAAUACCUUUGCUAUUCCAAAACAUGCCUCUAGUGAUGAACCAUUUUUUGUUUAGAGACAUUUGCCAUCUUUUCUUCACUCAGGUAGACUUGUUUUUUCAUAACGACGGGACAAGCUCACAUAGCAUAAUAUCAUGUAUACUAUCAUCCAAAUGUACUUCAAUCGUGUCCUUAACCAGAUGGGAGAGAAACUUGUCAUCGUAAUUGGCAUCAACAUGUUCAUCUUCCUCAUCUCACACUGAGGAGAAACCGUAAGACGGUCAAACUAAAGUUGCUUAAAAUCCCUAACAGGAAAUUUUACUCAAUUUUCAUUAUGUCAUAAGGAAACUCCAAGGCUAGCAAUAGUUGAAGAACCCUGGAAUUAUCAAAGAAAAAAAAGAUUAACGAGAGGAAGUACCUUCCAAGUCGAGGUUACAGGCUGACGUCCUACGCAUGGCCUUAGCAUUGAAGACAGAGUGACAACCGUUGUGCCUCAGUAUUGAAGGAGUGAACUCGGCAUCAUCAACUGCCCCGGUGCCCCCUAGCGAUGGAGUAGAUGGGUACGGCGACACUGAAGAAGACCGAGGGGUUGCACCUCAACCCCUUCGCCCUCGAAUGUUGGUGUAGAUGGGUGGCAUUAAAGCCCUGGACGAUGUCGCUCCUCCAGAUGUCUUAGGCGGAGAGGACAAGAUGCAUAGCUCCGCCAUAUCCGACUAAUGGUCAGCUCGAACAGACGGGACAAGAUCAGUCCCCAUCAUGUGGGUGACGCAAGUGCGGAUGAUCGUCCCUACAGCGGCGACGAUGUGCUUGCAGCUUCCGCCGCAGGUGCCUCCUCUAGUAGCUUAGAUCAUGACUAAUGCCACUCAUCGAGGCGAGGCGGCGCCAUCGGGUGUGGCAAAGUAGGUGGCAUGAAAGACCAGGGUGUCUAAGUCGUCGUAGAAACUGGCGGUGUGAUUACCAAGGGCACCAUAGUUGAAUGAGCCGGUGGUGUCGAGGCCGAUGGUCAAUACCCCUCAUGUGACAUAGAGUCAGCCUUAGGAGACGAACGUCGAUAUGAGGGUUUGACGGUGUAACAAAGAUGAUGAUCUUAUUUGGCAGUGAUGGAACCCCCCCCCCCCUCUCCCCAGAAAUACGUGAAGGCAUCGAGGCAUCGCAAACUUCAUGGGCGUCGUGCCACGCAAAGUAGGAAUAAUGGAAGAAUCGUUGGACCACAAGGUGGUUUUGGGCCUCUUAGUUGGAUCAGUGCACCCCACUAUGUUCUCCUUGGAAUGUCCCUUGUCUCCACCUAGAUCAUCUCCAUGCUCUCAGACUCGACACAUAAAAGCAGCAUCAGUACGGAAGUCCGAUAUUUCUAGGUUGUAUCAAACUCAUAACCCUUGCUCUCAAUGACCACGUCAGCACAAUCAGAAUUAAUUGUGAUCCUCUUAAAAGAUCGAGGUUCAACACAACUACUUGAAUACGAACAAUUCCUCUGUGAUGCAAGCAAAGAAGGUCAACAUCCAAAGUCACCAUAACCACCGAGCCGACCGGCCAAAGUCAUUGCCAAGAAGUGAUGAAGAGCAUGAGGCACACCAUGCACAUGCACCCAAAUAGGCAGUAGAUUCAAUCGAUGUGGUAUCUCCUCUGAUUUCUAAGGUUUAAACUCGCUAAUGACAUUGUAAGACCUGAGGGAAACUGCAAAGCCGGACACCAAUGCAAAACCUCCUUAUUAGGAGGGACGGAGCCAACAUGCAAGCAUAGGGGGAUAAGUUUGUACAUGGAGGGGGCAAAGUUCAUAUGAAAUGAAUUUUUUUUGGCUACAACAAUCACUAUUAUGAUAGAAAAAACAAUUUGUUAGGGGGGGUCUAGCCCCCCACCCCCUAGAAUCGUCCCUGAUUAGGAAAGAAUAUCAGAAAUGCAUCAUCAACAGUCCAAAAUGUAUUCAAAACAAUCAUUUAUGGAGCAGCGAUUUUGUUUUUUCGCCACAACGUCCACAAAUAUUAUUUCGAGCUGAAAUUUUGUAAGCAUACAAAACUUUUGUCAAAGUUUAGCACAAAAAUAAUUCAGAAUUUUAUGAAUGUUUUUACUAUUUUUUUUUAAUUUACUGUUCAUGAAAGAGCAUAUGAGCUCGGGAGAAAAAACUCCAUGUCCCAGUUUAGUGUGUGAUUGUGUGAACAAGUUCAGUUUUUACCCAUUGCAGCACAGACUAUUGCCAUGCGAGUAAGAAAGAUGGCAUGUAAAAAUAUGGUUCAAAAGGAACAGCAAAAUGCAUAAAUCACUCUAGGUUCAGGUUUCUUAUUGUAGAAAAAAAUGGUUUAGGUAUUCACUACGGAAACAAGUUCGUACAACUGGGCACGCAUGUAAGCAGUACCUGUUCCAUUUAUAAACCUAAUGAAGUCAAGAGAAAAUGCAAAUCCAAAUGCUAAUCCCCGGUUCUUUUCUGAGUCCGAGGGACGUCGUUUAUGACUUUAUAUUGUGUUCCUUCACUGUUGACUGUUGACGAUGGUGGAGCGCGUGCACGGUUCCUUGUGUAGAACAGGGUACAUAACUGCAAUUUGGUAUGCGAGCUCUCGACUGGCAUUUCCCUUGUUUUGUUAUGAAAGAUGAAACUGUUGUCAUGGAUUGGGAGCUCUGGGUUCAGAUAGGAAGAGCAUUUUCCUUUCGGGUAAAAAAUGCAUUUCAAGGAACACAAUAAGCAUGAUUAUAUACCAUGCCAUAGUAAUGCAACAGGGAGACAGAGUUUUUGCGACGCUCAACCUGCGUCUUUCCGGGGUUUUUUCCUUUUAUUCACUUGAUCCUACUAAGCCGGCCUCGAUCCGGUUUACCCGCGCCAUCCCACGGACGGUAUCGUGGCCAACGUCUACGGCAUGAUCUCUAGGAAAGAGUAAACGAAGAUCCUAACUUGCCGCUGCACGAACAAGGCGUGCGUCUGGCAUUACACUUAUUUCAGAUAAGCUACAGUAAACGUGACAAGCUAGUUACAGGAACAUCUAGAUUAACAUAACAUUCUCCCCUUUAAGCUUGAUGUCCUGGAAUCACCAUGCUCAUGCCAAUCUUCUCCUUCAGUUCCUGGAAGCGAAACCUUGCCAAUGGCUUUGUGAGAAUAUCUGCAUGUUGCUCAUUAGUUCUCACAUGCUCUACCUCCAGUUUGCCAUCUUCUACACAGUUUCUGACAAAAUGGUAGCGCACAUCAAUGUGUUUGCUUCUCUCAUGAAGCACAGGGUUCUUGCACAAGGAGAUAGCUGACUGGUUGUCAAUUCUGACUCUGAACUUGACACUUCUUUCUCCCAGUAGUUCCUUCAACAGUCGUGCUAACCAGACCCCUUGACUUGCUGCAGCUGCUGCAGCUAUGUACUCAACCUCACAUGAUGACUGUGCAACUAUUCUUUGCUUCUGUGAGACCCAUGAUACAGGACUGUUCCCAAAAUAAAACAGCACGCCGCUGGUGCUCUUUCUAUCAUCAAUAUCACCAGCAUGGUCGCUGUCACUGUAUCCCAACAGAAUUGGUCUGCUUGCAUCUCUCCUGUAGCUGCAACCUAGAUUGACAGUACCCUUCAAGUAUCUCAGGAUGUGCCUCACUGCCAUCAUGUGUUCUUUCGUGGGCUUCUCCAUGUACCUACUAACAUAACCUACUGAAAAAUUCAGAUCAGGUCUGGUAUGUAGAAGAUAUCUGAGGCUGCCCACUACACUUCUGUAUUCAGUUGAGUCCACUGAUUCAGAUUUACUAUCCUUGCUAAGCUUCAAUCUUGGCUCCAUUGGAAUAUGGGUUGGGUUGCAAUUAGCCAUACCCAUUUUCUCCAAAAUCCUAGAUGCAUAACCAGACUGACAGAGUGUGAUUCCCUCGUCAGUUUGCUUUACCUCUAUUCCCAAGUAAUAGCUCAGCAGUCCAAGGUCAGUCAUACUGAACUUUGAUCUCAUUUGUCUCUUGAACUCAUCAAUGGCUUGGCUGUCACUUCCGGUGAUCACCAAGUCGUCCACAUAGACACCCACUAUGAGCACUGUUUCUUUCAGCUUCUUGCGGUACAAGCCAGAUUCUGAAGGACACCGUUCGAAGCCAAGUUCUGACAGUGUUCUGUCCAGCUUGAAGUUCCAUGCUCUAGGCGCCUGUCGAAGACCGUACAGUGCUUUCUUCAGUUUGUACACUUUGUUGGCCUGUCCCUUCACUUCAAACCCUGGGAGCUGGCUCACAUACACUUCCUCGGCCAAAUCACCAUUUAGAAAGGCAGAUUUAACAUCCAUCUGGUGGAUUUUCCAGGCAAACUGAGCAGCAAGUGCAAUCAGGAGUUUUACUGAUUCAAGGCGAGCUACUGGAGCGAACACCUCAUCGAAAUCUAUCCCCUGCCGUUGCACAUACCCUUUGGCUACUAGUCUUGCUUUGUGUUUCACAAUUUCUCCACUAGGUUUUCUCUUUAGUUUAUAAACCCACUUCAGGCCAAUAGGUCGGUGUCCCCUAGGCAAUUCACAGAGAUCCCAUGUCUUGUUAUCUUGAAUUGCUGCUAGUUCUUCUUUCAUGGCUUGUCUCCAGCAUUCUUCCUUUACUGCAUCGAGAUGGCUAGAGGGUUCUUCCAAACCCAAUAGACACAACCCACUGUACUCUGCCUCAUCUGGCUCGUCUUCUUCAUAGAAGUCUGUCAGCAACCGUUUGCCUUGUGGACCCUGUGAAGGCUCAGAGUAUGGUGUUGCAGAUGCUGUCUGAUCGCUAGAAGAUGUUGCCACCGGAGUUGAGAGUGGGAGCGGCAACUGAACAGGUUUUCCAUCUCCAGCCUGUCGUGUCUUCACUCCCAGCCUUGGUUCUGCUGCAGCCGACAUUUCUCCUGCCUUUGCUAUCACUGCAGGAGUUUCAGGUGAAUUCUCUGCUGUGUGUUCCCCUGAACCUUGUUGUCUCUGUUCUGGAUACAGCACUACUAGUGGCUCCUGAUCACCAGUCUGCGAUGAACCAGGCGAGCUCCAGUCCCAUGGCCGGUCCUCCUCGAACACGACAUCGCGAGCCACCACUAGCUUCCUGGUCUCUGGAUCAUACAGGCGGUAUGCUUUGGACCCUGUUUCAUACCCGAUCAUGACCAUCUGUUUGCUGCGGUCUGCCAGCUUGGUUUGGCCAGGUCCAAUCUUCUUCACAUGGGCUGUGCUGCCAAACGUUCUCAGGUGGUGCACUGAUGGUUUCCUUCCAUGCCACGCCUCAUAUGGAGUCAUGCCCUUCACACUUUUCGUUGGAGCACGAUUCAGCAGAUAUACAGCUGUACUCAUUGCUUCUCCCCAAAACUUGGCCGGCAUUCCCAUGCUCUUAAGCAAGCUCCUCGCCAUGUUCACGACAGUCUGGUUUCGGCGUUCUACGACUCCAUUUUGCUGUGGAGUGUAGGGAGCCGUUCUGAAAUGCUUGAUGCCCCUGGCUUCACAAUACUCGACAAAUUCGACUGAGUUGAAUUCACCUCCUCUGUCCGUUCGCAGACCUUUCAGUCUCAGAUUUUUCUCGAGUUCAGCUGCUGCUUGCACCUUUUUGAUUGCUGUUAGUGCUUCAUCCUUGCUGCGCAGUAACACAAUCCACAUGUACCGUGAGCAGUCAUCUACCAGCAAUAGGAAGUACUCCUUUCCUGCAGGUGUAGUCGGUGAUAUUGGCCCACAGAGGUCACCAUGCCAAAGCUCCAUUGGCAGCUCUGCUCGGUACUGCGCCUGAGCAGGAAACGGAAGACGUUUCUGCUUUGCAACCAUACAUCCGUCACAAAUCUGCUCGACUUGCUUGAACUGAGGCAUUCCGUUCACCAUCCCUUCUGUAGACAAAGAACCCAAUGAUCUGAAGUUCAAGUGUCCAUAUCUCAUGUGCCACAGCCAGGCAUUCUCUGUCGCAUGGUUGAGUAAGCACACAGGGUGCGUUUGCUCAAUAUUCAGGAUGUACAUGCGGCUCCUAGUCCGUGGCACUCUGGCGAGAACAUUUCUUUGUCUGUCCCACAGUGUCAUGAUGCCAUUCUCCCCUGAAUAUUUGCACCCGUUCUCCUCCAACUGACCAAGACUAAUGAUGUUACUCUUGAGUUUUGGAAUGAGGUACACAUCGGACAACACACGAUGUUCGCCAUUCAGGCACUGCAUCAGAAUUGCACCACGACCACAUAUCUCAACUGAGGAUCCAUCCCCAAAUUUCACCCUUCCUUUGAUUGAGUGAUCCAGUUCAGCAAACUUGUCAGGAUCUCCAGUCAUGUGGUUACUAGCCCCUGUAUCUAAAUACCAGGAGGCAUCUCGGGAACCGGUGAAUUUAGGAACCACCUUCUCCUCAUUCAGGAAAACUUGCUCUGACAGAGUGUCGCUCAACUGGACUAUUUCACAUGUUUCCAGCAUCAGCAACGUUGGAUCUUCUUCUUCCUUCUCUGUCAGGUUUGCCUUUUCCUUCUUUGGCUCGGGGCAAUCAGACUGGAAAUGCCCCUUCUCGUUGCAAUUGUAGCAUCUGACUUUGGCAAUGUCGAACUUCCCUUUCUUCUUCUGCUUGCCACGGUCACCAUAUGUACCCUUGCUGUCCUUCGUGCGAUCGGUCUUUCCUCCCGACUUCUGACCGGAAGAGGAACCAGAACCGCCGGCACCGCUGUUCUUCUUGUUCUGCAUGAGCUGCUCCAACGCUCGGGUCAUGAGCAUGAGCUGAUCCUCCUUGGCGCCACCGCUGCGACGCCGCCCACGCUGUCCGCUCUCGAACGCUGACAACCUCCCGAGGGCCUCAGAGACCGACAUGGUCUCCAUGUCGCCCCAUUGCUCUAUGGUGUUGACUACGUCUGCAAAUCUUUCGGGCACAGCAUUGAACAGAACAUCUAUAACAGCCUCAUCACUGAUUUUCUCACCUAGCGUGCGGAUCUCCGCGACGAGCGUGGUCAGCUUCUGACCGAACGCCGUCACUGACUUGCCGUCGUCCAUCUGCAGCCGAUCGAGCUGGCGCUUCAGCUGUUUGACUCGAGCCUUCUUGACGCGGUCCUCGCCGACCCGCAUCUGCCGGAUCGCCUCCCACGCCUCCGCCUCCGUCUCGUAUUCCGCGAUGGCCAUGACCAUGGCAUCGGGGAGCGACUGCGAGAGCGCGGUGAAUGCAUCCUCGUCCUUGGCCUGGUCGUAGUCGCUCUUGCCGUCGACCGCUGUCCAGCACCCGAGGGUGCGCAUGAUGAUGCGCAUCUUCACCGACCACACCCCGUAGUUAGAGUCGGUGAGCUGGGGGUAGUGUACCGGUACCCCGCCGCGCGACGAUGCCCUGGCUGCGGUCGCGCCUCCGCUCGCGCUUGCGUCGAGCUCGUCCGUCUUGCCCGGCGGCUUGGCACCAAUCUUCGACAUCGCAGCCUGAUCCGCAACGCCCACGCCACCAAUUCCUCCGCCACCAAAACGCCUCCAACCCUAGUGCUCUGAAUACCAAAUGACAGAUCCUAGACCUAGACUCAAUGCGAUUUUGUGGAUUGGUGGAAAACUUACAAACGCUCGCUCUGAACUUUUCUCCUACUGACGACGAACACACGACAGACAGUUUACAGGGAGACAGAGUUUUUGCGACGCUCAACCUGCGUCUUUCCGGGGUUUUUUCCUUUUAUUCACUUGAUCCUACUAAGCCGGCCUCGAUCCGGUUUACCCGCGCCAUCCCACGGACGGUAUCGUGGCCAACGUCUACGGCAUGAUCUCUAGGAAAGAGUAAACGAAGAUCCUAACUUGCCGCUGCACGAACAAGGCGUGCGUCUGGCAUUACACUUAUUUCAGAUAAGCUACAGUAAACGUGACAAGCUAGUUACAGGAACAUCUAGAUUAACAUAACAAAUGAUCAUGGCAAUAUCAUGACCUGAUGAGCUCUUUGGUAGCAGGGGAAUCAACACUAUAUAUAUGCAAGCGGCAGCUUAUAUACCACAACACGAUGCAUAUAUGGAGGUCCUCUGCUGGGUGGGUGAAACAGUCCAUACUCCACAGUUUUGUUUCUGAGAUAUUAGAGUAAACCAAUAUAAAGAGCACAUUUUACUUCACAAUAUUUGUGAACCUAUGCUCCUGGGUUGUCACGUCCUCAUGGUCGAAUGCGUUGAGUGCGGUGCACUUGCUCUACUCAAUCACAAUUACUUGUCUUUGAGCAGCCACCAAUCAAAGUGCUUCCCUAUUAGUUUCCCCAUGGGCAACAUGGGUACUUCAAGACCAAUGUCAACUUCAUCAGCGCAAACAAGGCGAUAUGUUGUAUGAGGAUGUUCCAGUGGUACUUCUGAGUUGGUAGGCUAUUUUGUUGUGCGUGGUGGUUGAUGAUACCAGGUUUUCGCUCCACAGUAUAUCGUUCCUGAUGACAGACGUAGAUGGUGGGUUUCCUGGUAUUGUCACGAGCUCGCUUCUUUCCUUUCCCUUCUUUCUAUUUCUGAUCCGAAAGACAGUGUAUUUCUGUUAUGAUAAAAUGGAAAUGGGAGGAGCCCGGUUCGGAAAAAAAAAAUCAGCGCAAACAACGAAAUGCAUAUGGAAACCA